Molecule: long non-coding RNA, 50854 nt
Filed under: Carica papaya (papaya)
Lineage: Eukaryota; Viridiplantae; Streptophyta; Magnoliopsida; Brassicales; Caricaceae
Description: long non-coding RNA (CPAP_LNC009404)
Source: RNAcentral
AAGCUAAGAACACCAUUAUUCAAUAUUUAAACAAGCAUGUUAUAUCACAUUUGGCAUACCUAAACGUAUCAAAUAUCCAAUAGAAAUCAAACAAAUAAGCUACUCAGUAAACAGAAAAACCUUUAUACAAAUCAUCAUAGAGAUUCAAUUAUCACAAGCAGCAUACUCAGUAAGUAAAAGAACUGUCGUAUAAAUCAUCAUGGAAGUUCAACUACUACAAGCAGCAUACUCAGUAAAUAGAAGAACCUUCGUACAAAUCAUCAUGGAGAUUCAACUAUCACAAGCAACAUACUCAGUAAGCAGAAGGACCGUUGCAUAAAUCAUCAUAGUGGUUCAACUAUUACAAGUAAUGUACUCAGUAAACAUAAGAACCAUCAUAUAAAUCAUCAUAGAGAAUCAACUAAUACGAGCAAUAUACUUAGUAAUUAGAAGAAUCAUCGUAAGAAUCAUUAUUAAGAUUCAACUAGUACGAGCAACAUAUUUAAUAAACAAAAGAAGUAUUGUACAAAUCAUUAUAGAGAUUCAACUAGUACGAGCAGCAUACUCAGUAAAUAAAAGAAGCAUCGUACGAAUCAUUAUAAAAAUUUAACUAGUACGAUAAGCAUACUUAGUAACUAGAAAAAGCACUGUACAAAUCAUUAUAGAGUUUCUAAUAAUAUCCUUAACCAUCUGUAUGUUUUAUUAAGUCUUUUAUUGACCUCCACAUAAAGCUGUUACAACAUAUAUCCACUGAGGGCCAAAGGGAUCCCCGAUUACCGCUGUGAAUCACCAACCCAUCCCCAGGUCCUUAUCAUAUCCCCAUUUAGACUCUAACCAAGGCUAUCUAUUUGUCAUGGUGGUCUUACAUACACCUAACGUGUAUCUUAUCUUUUCAAAGGGAUCGCUGAUCAUCACAGAGAGUGGUUCAUCAAUACUUAUUUAGAGAAUGGAGAAACAUAAACCUCGAAGAGAUAAUGGUCGAACAUAUUUUUUCAUUCUUUUCACUUAUUUUUUCAUACUCACAACAAUUUCAUAUUCUUUUCAUAUGCAUACUACAUGUUCGAUGCAACCAUUUUCGAAUCCAUAGGGAUUCCAUAACUUAUCCAGCCCAUAGGACCUUUUUUACAUAUUCGGCCUAAAGGCUCAUGUCUGGCUCGAAGGCUCAUUUUAGGUAUCCAACCUGAAGGUCCAUUUUACCCGGACUUGACCUUCAGGUCAUCUUCUUGAACCAAGAUCUACUAGAAUAACCCUAUCACCAUUACUAAAGUAAGGUGAAGGGCCAAACCCGCAUGCAAUUUCUAAUUAUCAUAUUUUAUGCAUCAUGUUCAAUAUUUUCAUGGUUAAACAAUGAUCAUUUACCAUAGAGACUUAUACAUCAAAUCAACAUGUUCAACAAUACUAAACAUCAAUCCUUGUAGGAAUUCAUGCAUUAUAGUCAUACGAUACACUAUCAUGUAUCAUAUCUCAUGUCUAGAACCUGGUGGGGCUUCAACAACAUAUUCCGCCAAAGGCUUAUUAUAACCAGAUUUGACCAUCGAGAAAUUCUUUAAAACUGGAGCUCCUUAGAAUAACCCUCUUUGCUAUUACCGAUGGUAAGACAAAGGGUCAAUCCCAAUAUUUUUUAAAUCAUCAUUAUAACACAUAUAUCAUGGAUGAUUAUCACAAAUAAAUCAUCAAACAAGCAUAGAAAUCCAUUUCAACAAAUAUCGAUUUUCACCAAAUUAAUUAACUAAAAAGAGCACUUAGACAUGUAGAUAAAAAUACUAAAGAAUCCUUCCAUGUCAAUUUAGUCUUUUGGAAGUGAAGGAAAGAGCUUCUAGAAAUUCCUUGAACAAGCUUGCAAACCUCUUGCUUCUUCUCCUUCUUUCUUAUUUCUUUCUCUCUUUAAAAUUUUAUCUUUCUCACUCUAAAAUCUCUCUCUAAAAAGUGAAAAUGGAAGAAAAAAUGAAGUGUGGGAAAUGAGGAAGAAGAGAGCCUUUAAAUAGGCAUGGAAGAGGCUUAGAUGUGCGCCACACGACAAACAUCCAAGAAAGAAGAGUGUGGUGGUGACCAUGGGACCUGCACAGUAUAGGGGAAGCAUGGUGAGGCAUAGGGGCGGGUGUGGGGAAGAUUUUAUCCACUUUUUUUAUUUUUCUUUCUUUUCUUUCUUUUCCCUACUUUUUUAUUCUUUUAAAAUUCAAAAAUAUAAUUUAAAGAUAAGAUCAUAAUUAAAAUUUUAAUUAAACAAAUACCUAUUUUACUUUUUCUUUUUGAAAAUUCAUAAUUAUAAAUUAAAGAUAAAAUCAAAUUUAAAUCUUUUAAAUAAAGAAAUACUAAGUUUAAUAAAAAAAUAAACAAAUACCAAAUUUAAACAAAUACCAUACACUAAAUUUAAAUUAAAUAAACAAAUACCAAAUUUAAUAAAAUAAAACAUGAUAAAAAUUAAAAUGCGAAAAUAUUAAUAAUUUAAAAUACAGAAAAAUUAAUUACCAAUGAAAAUUUAAAAUGGAUAUUAUGCCCAAAUUAAUAGAGUUUUGAACAUACAGUAAAGCACAAAGAUUCGAUGUGUUACAGUUAGGGUGCAGUUUGUAAGUUAACCCUGUCUUAUAUACCAGUAAGGUACUGGCUACAUUAGUACAACUGCCUCCAUAAAUGAUCACAUUAUAGACCUUUCUGUUAACCAGAUAUCUAUAGUGGAAGACGGUUUCCGUCUAAUUGUUAUCUUCUGACUUGAUCUGCAUGUUCAAAUUUUGUUGGGUCACAAACACAUCUCCCUGAAUUGCCUGCGCAAUACUUUCUUCACUAUCUCCAAAUGAUGGCAUGUCUCCCUACUCACUACCAAUUUUGUGAUCAUUGAUGGCGUCCUCAUUAUCCCUUAUUAUUAUAUUAUGUUGAUUGGGACAUUGGGAUGCAAUAUGUCCAACCACAAGCACUUGAAACACUUAACAAUGCAUUGUCUUGCAGCAUGUGCCUUAGGGUUACAUGUUGGUGAUGUAGGAGGUAUGGAAAUGAUUGUUUUAACUUAUGGAACCUCAACCUAAUGCAUGCAAUUCAAAAACUUAACUGCCUAAUUAACCCCUCCUCUACUUGAAUCUAUAACCAAUUAUAUGGCAUGCAAAAACAAGAACUAGGAAAGUCAAAACGAGAAAAGAAAGACGCGAUGGCUUACCCGAUAAUUCGAUCCCAACUCCUUAGCUUAAUAAGAUUUCGAAAAGCUCCCUAACUUCGAAGAACUUGAAGACACUAAAUUAGCGAAAACUAAAUUGAAGAAAAGCUCAAAGCUUCAAUAUUAUUAAUUCUCAAAGUUAUUGGAUUACAAAGCUUGAACUUAAGCCUUCAUAUAGUCUUUUAUUUUCUAUUUCUACUUAGAAUAGGAUUUAGGAUUCCUAUCUAAACUUUAGGACCUAAUUUAAUUAGAAAUAAAAUACAUAAAUAAUUAAAUAAAGGAAUCUUAUCCUAAACUUAAUUUAAAUACUUAAAAUAAUUAAGGUAAAUAUUAAAAUAAUAUUUUCCCUUGAUCCAAGUUUUCAAGAAUCUUGAUCUUCCUUGGACUUCAAUUUUGAGUAGAAAUCCUCCUCCAAUUUGGACAUAUUAAUCACAUGGGAUAAUUAUUAAAGUGAAUCCUUGUAGUACUUGAAAAAGUGAGAAACCAAGUUCAAAAGGACUUAGGAAAAGCAAACCGCCGGGUAGCUUACUGGGCACGCUGGUGGGUGUACGAGCUACAUGAGUGGGUUGCGCGGGUCACACAAACAGCUACACGAGCUUGGGUCGCGUGUACGGGGUGCUCGGAGUGCACCUAGCCUUUUACGCACGUGUUGCUGUGUGCAUGCGCAUUCUUCUUAUACGCAUUUUACACGCGCUGGGCGUGUGAAGCUACUUGUCUGCGCAUGCGGGCUGACUGCUCAUGCAGGAAGCUCCUCGCGCACUUAUUUCUGCACUUUGGGGCGUGCGAGCGAUACUACUUGCUUAUCCUACAUGUAUGAUGCUAUACCCACUAACAACACACAUAAACUAGAGUGUAAGAAGCGAGCAAUUAUAGAUGAACUUUUAAAAAUCAGAAAUGAUUCUUUUUCAGUAUAUUAACAUUCUGAUUUUUGGGUAUAGUAAUCGUAAUAACCCAUAUUUUUCUCAAUUUGAUUUCUCAUGUUUGGUAUGAUUGAUUAAGCAUGUACAAGAACUCAGUUUAACAACAAACAAGAAGAAAGUAGUAAAAUCAAGUUAGAGGGAAACUCUUAAGAAUGAGAAUUUUUCCUCAAACAGAAAACCAAUAUUUUGGCCAAAAAGAAGUUUCAAGGUCAUAAUGACAUCUUAGGAGCUUAAAAAGUACUUUCGAGAAGUGAGAAAAAAUUUUGUAGAAGAAAAUUUAGGAGAAAACUAAGGAAAACCUAGAGGCAUGUGGAGAAGCUUAUAAUGACUUAUUGUCCUGGGCCUUAUGGGCUUAGGUGGGCCUAAAGGAGUCUCCCACCAAGAAAACAACUCAAUACCACUUUUAUGCUCUUCUCAUCUCUAACUUUUUUCUCUUAUGCUCUUUUAUCUUCUCUCACCCUCUCUACUUCUCUUACUUCAUCUUCUUCUCUCCUUACCUCUUCAAGGUGCUCUCUUUCCUCUCCCCUUUCUUCAUCAAUAGUACCAUAAACUUGCACAAAGGGUGGAAUAAUAGUAGUUCAUAUAAAAUUGUUCUAAUAGAAUUUAACAGAGUUUAAUUUGGUGAGAGAAGAAAAUUGGGCUGGAAGGGUAUUAGUAGAGUGAAGAAACAUGUUAGUCUCAUAUCCCUUACUACCUUGUUGGUGGUAUGAAAAGAGAGAAACAAGAGAGCUUUUGAGGGCGUAGAAGAUGAUUUUGAUAGCAUAAAAGAUAGAUGAUUUCAAAUCCUAAAUUUCUUAAUUAUGGCAUCCUCUCCAUUUACUUGAGGACUUUGGGAACCUUAUUGACAUUUUGAUCUAUGUGUAAUUAUUUUUGUAUUUAGGUUUGCAUCCCAUUGAUGCAUAUGAAUGAAUUAAGUUAUAUUAUUUUUAUUUCAAAAUAAAGAAUAUGAUAUAGUUUGAAUUCAGUACCGAAUAAAAUACAAGUUAAAAGUAAUUAAAACUUGAUAAAUUGGUUAAAACUGAUAUAGUAAAUUGGUUAAGGAACACAAUUGAUACGAAUAUAAAUAUACUUUAAAUUAAAAAGCUAAGAAAUGUGGAGAUAAUACAUGUAGGUUGACAAUUCAUUAAUCAUUGUUAGCAAGCAUGUCUAAUAAACACAUAAAAGAAACACGCAAGUAAUAUGCUAUCCCUGUCUCUUAAUUUACACUACUCAUACAAAUAACAUCACUGCAUCCUAUAAUGCAACUUGAGCAUACAACAUGAAGAAAAUGCAAGACCUCUUAUAGUUUUUGUUAGAGAGGAAGUGGAAAAGAAGGGGAUACCUUUUGCCAAUUAUGCCUAGUGAUAGUAAAACUAAUAAACAAUGAAAAUUCAUUAACAUAAACAAAAACAUCUACAAGAAUAUAUAUUCACAUACAUCUAUAGGUAUAAUAUCAACUCAAGAGGGGACAAUAAAGCAAGCAAAAAAUUACAUGACAAACGACAAAGUGAAAAAAAGUUCAGUUAACAAUAGUUAUGAUGUUAACUGAGGAAGACACAGUAGAAAGUUGCAACUUCUAGUUAAUACUUAAACACAUUCAAUGAUAAAUAUGGUCUUGUUGAUAUAAAAUGAGCAUGGAAUUUUUCACUCCAGCACACAUUUCACUAAAGCAUAUGGAAAAAUCCCAUAUGGAUGAGUUUAAGUUCUGUGAUGCUUUUAAAAUAUCAUAUACGGAUGUUUCACUUUCUAAAUAACAUGAGAGCAUAGAACUUUAGCCAGUUGAAACUAUUCAUCAUAAAAAAUACGAACAAGAAAACCAUCUUUAGAGGAUUGCUUUAACACUAACUUCAUCAGUUCUACUCUAUAUAUAGUUAUAAAUUGCAUCAACUGACUUGCAAAAACUUUAUAGAAAUAUCAAGAGGCAUUUCAUUUAAGUAAAGUACGAACAGAGAUUUGGUAACACAGCAAAAUUUUUUUUAAGGAAACAGUAAACACUCCUCACUUAGUGGUGUGCGGUUUCAGCUUCCAGGUGGAAAAAUUGAUUUUGGUUGGUUUCUUUGGGCCUCCUUUGGCUGCGACCAUGUUGCAUUUGUGCCUUUCAAGGUAGAUCUCAAGCCUAAGACUCUUUUUCCCGUCUCAGUUUGGGUUGUUGAAGCCCUUAUUGGGUCGAUCCUUAGUGUCAUGUUCCAAGGCCUUCAGGAUUCGACCUUUCGUUGUUUGGGCUAUUUCUUUGGUCUCCCAUGGACCUCUUCUUGCUUUUUGCAUGCAGCUUGGACUCUGGGAAGGUCUAGCCCAUGCAGUCUCAAGACCUUAAGUGGGUUGUCACGCCCUAAAAUGUGCACGACAUAUGCCUUUUUAAUGGGUCGCUUAGUUGGCGGGCUCGCAAGUUUGUAGGUAUUCAGCCCGAGGGUUAGCCACUCCUCGUGGGUUUCCCCCUUAUUCUAGGAACACUUUCAAACAUGUAUAGGAAACUCAUUAUCGUUCAGCAUUUUUCAUCCUUUAGUGGUCUCAUAACUCUUUUAUUUAUUACUAGUCUUGUCUUCAAUUAGUAUCGCAUUAGUACCAUACAACAACAGUGCAUUAAAGCAUAAUUGUAUUUGUACCAAUCCACACAACAAGAACAAUGCACAUUGCCAUAAAAAAUCUUUCCUGUCCACAUGAUAAGGUUCACCAUCAACCAUGUCAACUGAAUCUCUUCCACACACACAUAGAUCCUUCAUUUGAUAAAUGAUCAAAUAAUUUACCCGUUUUGGCACAUCACAUAUUCAUGACUUGUGAUUUAUCUUUGCUUUAUCUCCUUUUAGUUUGCUUUCUCAUUUUCAUUUGAAUUUUGCCUUUACUUUUAAAUUUUCCCUCAAUAGAUUAUAUAUUUAUUUCAUACCCUUUUAUUCUUUUAGUUACUUGAUUAAUUUUUUUCCUUAUGUAUUUUCCUCUAACUUUUGACUUCAUGACCCACUUAAAAUCUUAUACUCGUAUAUAUUCUUUUAGUUACUUGAAUAUUAUACUCGUAUAGUUUCCUUAAUCAUUUUUGUUCAACUUUAUUUAUUUAUUUGGUUAAUUUUGUGAUGUACAUUUAUAACAACGUUUAAUACUAACCCACUCACAACCCUAUCAUGCAUGGUAUCCUUUGAUUUAUCUAUAAAUUUGCUCUAUAAUGUAGUUCUAAUUUAAUUGUUGUUCAAUUUCAUAAUAGUCUUUCCUCUUUUUACUUGUAAUGGACCAAGGGCCCAAUCUACUAAUUUGCCUUAAAUUUAAUCCAUUCCAACACUAUUUGAGCCAUUAUUUCAUUUCUUGAUGAUAUCAAUUACAAAUCCACUUCUGUUUUUAAUUUUUGGAUCAAUAGCCCACCAUCCUUAUUCAAUGUAUUAUACAUUUUUGGCCCAUUAAAUCAUAUGUUAUUUGACGCGGGAGGAUAUGGGAAGGAUUCUUUUGACUCCUUAAAUCUCAACCCAAUCAAUGCGAUAUCAAAACUCAAACAAUCUAAUUUAAAACUCCUUCUAAUUGAAAUUAAAAUCCUAAAAUUAAGAAAUUAAUAACAAAAACUAGGGACCAAAAACAAGAAAAUAAAAGAUGUCAUGGUUUACUCGAUAAGUCAAUCCCAACUCCUUAGCUCAAUCAAGACUUUGACAAGCUCACCUAGGUUGGAAGAACUUGAAGAAACAGAAUUAACACGAGGCUAAAAAAGGAUCAAAGCUUAACUUUUAUUAAUUCUUAAGAUGUAUUUACAAUACUUGAGCUAGGACCUUUAUAUAAGCUCUUAAUUACUACUUCUACAUGGAAUAAGAUUUAGGAUUUCUAACCAUAUUCUAAUUCCUAAUUUAUUUGAAAAACAAACACUUAAUUAAUUAAAUAAUAAAAUUCCUCAUCCUUAUCCUAAUUUAAUUAACUAAAUAAUCCUAGGGAUAAGAUUUAUAUUAAAAUAUCAAUAAAAAAAUUAAAUAAUAGUAUUUUUUUCCUUAAUUUUUCAAGGAUAUAUUUUCUUCAACCUUGAGUAGAAUUCCACCUCCAAUUUAGCAUAUUUUACACAUAGAAAAAUUAGAAAAUUUGGAUACCUUGUAGAAAUAGGAAAUUUUGAAUUUUUGGAGUUCAAAAAAGGUUAGCGUGGGUGGGCUAGUUUGCGUGUGGGUCGAGCCAUGAGCCUUCGGAGCUAGGCCGAUGGCGACACGGUUAGACCAGUUGGGCCAUAUGGUUGGGUUGGUUGGGCCGUGCGGAUCUCUUCCCUGGGUGCAAGUCGCGCAUGCAGGGUUUGUUGCGAAAGUGACCUACCGCUGGAGUGCAUUUGUGCUGUCGAGCAUUUGCCAACACGCGCAAGGGUGCACGUUUGCAUGCCUCACAAGCCCCCUCACACGGGUGAGGCUCCCGUAUGUUCAAGUGGGUUCUCCCCCACAUGUGAUUAUCCACAUAUGUGUGGCACAUGCUUUCCAUGGAUCUUUUUUGGGACUUGGCCCACUUUGUCCAUGAGGUCUUUGGGCCACCUUGGGUUGGGCUAUAAAUGGGCUUUUCUUCUUGCUUUGUAACCUUUCUAAGCCCAUGAAGCAUUAUUUAGGCUUAAAGCUUCCUUUAGACAAACUUGGCCCACUCCUUAAAAUAUUCCCAUUUAGGAAAGUAUUCAGGGAUAAUGUUACUUUCCUAUUUAGGGGCUUCUCAUUUAGGAACCUAGAAUUUACUUUUCUUUUUAAGGUGUUCUUGUUUAGGAAACUGGGAUUCACUUUCUUGUUUAGGGCGUUCCCAUUUAGGAAACUAGGAUUUAAUUUCUCAUAUGUGUUAAUCCUACUUAGGAAACAAAAGGAUUCUAGAAUUGCUUGCCUAUUUGGGAUGAGAACUACAGGAAUCUUUGCGGAAAACUGAUUUCCCUUUUUUCCUACGCCUACGCGUGCUCAUCUAUUGUACUGCAUGGGUAGGAUCUCAUGUUGCAUCGGACUUGCGGGUAAUUAUUCUGUAUGAGUCUGGAUUUCUAUGGGGUUCCUCCUUGAUGCAAGAUUUCAUAUUUGGNNNNNNNNNNNNNNNNNNNNNNNNNNNNNNNNNNNNNNNNNNNNNNNNNNNNNNNNNNNNNNNNNNNNNNNNNNNNNNNNNNNNNNNNNNNNNNNNNNNNNNNNNNNNNNNNNNNNNNNNNNNNNNNNNNNNNNNNNNNNNNNNNNNNNNNNNNNNNNNNNNNNNCUAUCGAGUUGAGAAUUCAAAAUUAGACCCCUUUAGUUCAAAAUUUGCACGUUAGUCUUUCUUGACACAUAAAGAAUCCUAAAGAAAUCUAAUUCUACAGAAGCUCAAAACAAGCACACAUAAGAAGAAUUUGUGUGUUUUUGUUUAUAUGCUAAGCAACUAGGAUCAAUUAGUCACUUAGUUAUAUAAUGAAACAAAAGCACAAUGAAAUAAUGUAAACUUAGAUCACAAAAAAAAAAACUAGUUAUACUCUACUGCAUAGGGAUCCAAUUAAUCUUUAUGGAUAUAACCGAAAGUUGUAUCCUAAUUUUACUUACCCAAUAUCGGCUAUGCUCUAUAAAUGGUUGAGUUUUUUUAUACAAUAUUUAAGCCAAAAUUCCAAGAUACAAAAUGAUCAAUUAAUAGUGAAACAGAAAAGGUUUUCGAUCACCGUGGGUGGGUUAAUCUUCCUUUUUAUUUUAUCCAAAUUAAUUAUGCAAAAUGAAUGAAAACCAAAAGUUUUCAUGUGCACCUAUUGGGUGAGGUACUUUGCCUUUGAAUCCACAAAGGUUUUCUAAGCUCACUUACUAGGUGGUUACUCUGCUUUUGAAUGCAAGAUACAAACAACGUGUCAAUUAUCUUAUGGGUUGCAAUUGGGGAUUUUUUUUGUAUUUUUAAUUUUGUAAUUUUUUAUAAUAAACACAAACCACUUGAAUUAAACAAAUAGAUAUGAAUUCAAGCGGGAUGCUAUACGAAUUAACCAAAAAAAUUUAAUUUGAAUUGUUAUUUAAUUUACAAGACUACUAAAGUAAUUGACAUAAAUAGGUUUACUAGGAGCUUAAACUCUAAUACCACAUGGCAUUGGAGGGUAUGGGAAGGAUCAUUUUCACUCCUAAAACCUCAAUCCAAUUGCAUGCAAUAUCAAAACUCAAAUAAUCUAAUUUAAAACCCUUCCCUCUAAUUGAAAGUAUAAUCCUAAAAUUAAGAAAGUAAUAACAAAAACUAGAUAACAAAAAUAAGGAAAGAUGCCACGACUUAUCUAAUAAGUCAAUCCCAACUCCUUGGCUCAACUAAGACUUCGACAGCUCACCUAGCUUGGAAGAACUUGAGAGAAAGAAUAAGCACAAGCUGACAAAGCUCAAGCUUACUUNNNNNNNNNNNNNNNNNNNNNNNNNNNNNNNNNNNNNNNNNNNNNNNNNNNNGUGCCACAAAAAGGCUUUCUUGAUUGCCAUGUAACCUCUCCUGGCCCAUGAAGCAUUACUUGGGUUUUAAGUUUCCUUUGGACAAACUUGGCCCACUUCUUGAAACAAUCCCAUUUAAGAAAGUAUUAAGAGAUAAAGUAACUUUCCUAUUUAGGAAAUUGGAAUUUAUUUUUCUGCUCACGGUGUUUCUAUUUAAGAAACUGGGAUUCACUUUCCUGUUCAGGGCAUCCCCACUUAGGAAAUUGAAAUUUACUUUCCCGCCUGAGAUGAUCCUAUUUAAGAGACAAAAGGAUUCUUGAAUUGCUUACUUGUUUAGGACGAGACCUACGAGAAUUGAAGCGAGAGGGUAUGGGAAGGAUUGAAUCUACUCGUGAUCAACGUAUGCAAUACUAAAGCAAUAACAACCUAGAAUUAAACUUCUCCCUCUAAUUGAAUCUAAAAUCCUAAAAAGAAAGUAAAAAUAAAGACUAGGAAAAAUAAACGAAGAAAGAAAAAACACCAUGGACUUACUAAUAAGUUGAUCCCCACUCUUUGCCUUAACAAGUCUUCUGAAGACUUUUGUUUUCAAAAGAAUUUGAAGAAGCUAAUUUUAGCAAAAAUACUAAAAGAAGAAAAGUCGAAGCUCUCAAGAAUUCUCUCAAAUUUAUUCUCAAAAGUUGUUGUUUUACACCUUAGGAGCAAAGGUUUAUUUAUAGCAUUUUCCAAACAAUCUAAAUGAAUAUAAAAAUCUUGAGAUAAUUAACAAAAUAUUAACUUAGAUAAAAUUCUAUCUUAAUCUAGGAUAAUUACAUAAUAAAAUAAUUAUUCUAUCCCAAAUAAAUUAAUUAAAUAAUUCUAAAGGAUAAAAUUAUAUCUCAAUCUAGGUUGAUUGCAUAAUAAAAUAAUUAUUCUACCCUAAAUAAAUUAAUUUAAAUCCACAUUUAUCCCAUGUGAAAUCCAUUUAAAACACAUGGGUAUUUUAAAAAGUGGGUCCCAAACCUUUUUAAAAGGUUUUUAAAAUAAUAAAAUAAAUAUUAAAUAAUUUUAAAAGGAAAAAGGAGAAAAGAGGGGGUCGGCCAGUUUGGGCUACCCAGAUGGGCCGAGCAAGCUGGUCCACGCGGGUUGCGUAGAAGAAGACCUCUUGGGCCAUUUUGCUAGGCCGUCUGCAAGCCCAUCAGCAUGGAGUGAACACGUUCGACACUUGGGCCUGCUUACGUGCGGUUGGUUCUGCGCAGGCCUAGAUGGUUGCGUGCAUGGGCACUCCCAAGCGCUUGUGCGCACGGUCCGUGCAGGCACGCGGACAUGCUCAUGGGCUGUGCGAGCUUGGUCGCAUGUUUGUGGGUUGUGCAGGCUGAGUUGCAUGUUUGGUGCACAUGUGGGCCUCCUCACCUAAGCAUGGGCUUUCUUACAAUUCUUCAAGCCCAUUAAUCAUACUUAAGCCUUAAGUCUACUAGCUUGGACAAACUUGGCCCGUCUCUUGGAAUAAUCCAAAUUAGGAAAGCGUUUAGAGAUGAAAUUACUUUCUUGUUAUAGGCGUUCUCAUUAUAAGAUUGCAUCUUUAGAACUAAUUUUGAGCUGUCUAGGAUCACAUCAGGAAUACUUGCGGGAAACGAAUUUUUCCUUUUUCCUACGCCUACGCAUACUCGUCUGUUGUACUAUAUGGGUAGGAUCUUGGGUUGCGACGAACUGACGGGUAAUUAUUGUACAUGAGUCCAGAUUUUCAUGGGGUUCCUCCUUGAUGUAGGAUUUUACCUUCAGAACUAAAUUUGGGGCAUCCAGGAUCACAUCAUGAUUAUUAUUACUAUUAUUGUUAUUAUAAUUAUUAUUACUAUAUUUUUAUUUUAUUAAUUUAUUUCCUUCCUUUUCUGGCNNNNNNNNNNNNNNNNNNNNNNNNNNNNNNNNNNNNNNNNNNNNNNCCUCAGCUGCUGAGGUGAUGCAACUUAUGAAAUUUACAAUUUAUAACCCAAAUUGGAAAUUCUUUUCAUCUUGCUCCUUUUAAUAUUACCAUUUCUCCUAAUAUAUUUAAAGUGUUCUCAAUUUUACUCUUAUUAUAUAUUUUUCUUAAUUUGAAUAAUUUCUUUAAUUAUUUCAUCUUUGUUCCAUUUAAUAUUCUUGAGGGUAAAAUUUAAUAAUAUAAAAUUUGUGUAAAAAUAGAAAUUUUUAAUUCACUAUGUUUGAGUUUCGAUCUUUACAAUCCUCUCUAACUUGAAAGAAAUUUGGUCCCUAAAUUUGUUAGACUUGUUAAAACAAUUGAGGAUACUUAACUCUAAUCCUUUCCUCAAGCUUCCAUGUUGCCUUAUCUUGCGAGUGAUGUUACCAUAAAACUUUCACUAAAGGUAUUACCUUGUUUAUCAAUGUCUUCUCUCUUUGAUUUAGUAUAUGUAUUGGUACUUCUUCGUACAUCAGGUUCUUCUUUAACAGAAGAAUUCAUAUUAUAGCACAUGAGCGAGAUCAGAUUGAUUCUUAUGUAGCAUUGACAUGUGGAACACAUUGUGAACUAUUGAUAAUUAUAGUGAUAGUGCACUCGUAUAAGCAAUUGUACUAACUCGUUAUAAUAUUUCGAAAGCCCUAAUAAAUCAGGGGCUUAGUUUACCCUUUUCGAAUCUUAGAAGACCUUUCAUUAGUAAUACCUUUAUAAACACAUGUUGAUGCAAUACCAGCCGUAGUCAAGCCUAAACUGAUAGAAGGCAGGAAGUGGGCUAAUACUGACGAUCUUCCAGAAAAUGAAAGGAAAUAAUUACAAAGUAACAAUACUCUAAGCUACUUUAUCCUUGAUCAAGUAUCAAAUAGCAAGGCUAAAUCCACCAAAUAAAAAUCUUGACUUAGGAAGCAACGACACCAGAAGGUGCCACAAACCUGAAGGGUAAUGGGCCUCACUGUUAAAGAACAACUCACUCGAAAAAUCUUGGCCCAAAAAGAAAGACCACAUAUAGUCCGGGUAUGGGUGCUUGUGUGGUACACGUGCGUUGCCAUGCACAUACAGGAUACUUUGCCCCAUAUUUUUUAGUGUCCAACGUUCUCGUAAUGAACCAAUCGAAACGACCUUAUACCCUGCAGGAAAACUAGAGGCAAACAAACUCUUCAACACGUGGGCACGGAGGCCCAUGCGCGAACGAAGCUACCUGCACGUGUGCCAGUGUGCGAUCUAACCCACACUUCCCAUGUGCGCACAGACACAUGUAUGCCUGCACGAAUCACAGCACAAUCGCACAACGCCUAUAAAUGUGGCUCAUUGGCCCCGCACGCGGAACCCACUAUGUGCGUGUAGGACCAAGCCUUUUGGCCCUAGUGGCACACCCCAGACCCGACCAGCCAUUCCCCACUUUUUAAUUAAUAUAUUUUUUUAUUUUUAUUAUUGUUAAGGCUUUUGGGCCCCACCUUUUAAUUUCUCAUAUUUUUAAAUUAAUUCCCACAUGUUUCAAUUAAUUUUUCCAUGUGUUUUAUAUGAAAAUAACAUGGGAUAAAGCCUAUCGUAUUUUUAAUUAUUAUUUGAAUGUAAAUUCUAUCACUAUGAUUAUUUAAUUAAUUAUUUUUUAAUUAGAUAGGAUAUAAUAUAUAUUUUAUUAUGUAAUUAUCCUAUAAUUAAAUAAAAUUUUAUCUAUGAUAUUAUUUUAUUAAUUUUUUAAAGUGAUUGUGAUAAUCUAGAAUUAUCCCGGGAAAGCCUAUAAAUAGGUAUUUGCCUAUAGGUUGUAAACACAUAAAUUAUAAUCAAUUUAAGAAAAAAUCUUAAAGAAUAGGUUUUUCUUCAAUUAACAUUUUUGUUAAUUUUUAGUUUUUUCAAGUUUUUUAAGAAGUAAGAGUUUUUAGAAGUUUUGUUGAGCUAAGGAACGGAGAUUAACUUAUCUUUAAGUCUAUGGCAUUUUUAUUUUCUUUAUUUUAUUUUUCUUUAUCUUUGUUUUUGCAUUCCUUUUAGGAUUGUCGAUUCAAUUAGAGGUAGGAGUUUUUUAGGCGUUGAAAUUUUGGUAUUACAUAUGUUGAGUGGUUUAUAAGAGUUGAUUCGAUCCUCCCCAUACCCUCCCACGUCACAUGGUCGCCUAUUUCGGAUGUGAGGUCCCUUCUUCUAUUAAUCAUGUAGCUUUUUUGUUUAUUUUGUGUCAUCUAAAGAUUUUUUCUGAUAAUUGAUAUCUUUAUAGUGGUUAUUUUUAUAAGGUUGGGACAAAUCAUAUUUCUUUUCCCACUUUGUGCCAACAUAUUGGUGAUCUACACAGCACACCGUAGAAUGCCUCAAAAGAAGUUAUUCACAUGUUGGCCUGAUAACCUUUUUUUAGAAGCAAAUUGUAAGUAGUCGUCCCAAUUUCCUCCAAUAUCUAGUACACUUGAUCGUAGCAUGCUCUCUCAUACCUAAAUGGUUUUUUUAGAUAGUCUAUAUGUAUGUGGGUGAAAAGUUGUACUAAAAGAUAGUUUUGUGCCUAAAGCCUAUUAAAAACUUCCACAAAAUCUGGACAUAAAUACGGGAUCUCUGUUNNNNNNNNNNNNNNNNNNNNNNNNNNNNNNNNNNNNNNNNNNNNNCAAUUUGUCUACUAUCACCCAAGUGGUCUCGUGAUAUGACCGUGUCAUUGGCAAUCCCACUACCAAGUCCAUACAAAUAUGUUCUGUUUUCCAUUCAAAUAUUAGUAGGGGUUGAAGAAGUCUGCUCAAUCCUUGAUAUUUUGCUUUAAUUCGUUCGUGUACAAGACAUCUAGCGAUAAAAUUUGCAAUUUCUAACUUUAUUUCGCUUCACCAGUAAUAGGAUCACAUGUUCUGGUACAUCUUAGUACUAUCUGUGUGUAUGGUGAAUCGAAAGCUAUGUGCUUCUUCUAAGAUCUCUCAUUUCAACCCACUAUUACCAGGAACACAUAUCAUGUCUUUAAAUCUAAGUAGACCAUCAUCAUGUACUUUACAAUAUGAUUUUAGACCUUAUUUAAUAGGGUCAACCAUUUGACAACUUUAAUUUUUUAAACCAAGGCCGGCUACGCCAUUACACUCAUUAGAUACACACCUCUCUUAUGGUCUUUGAUUUCUAAUUUCUGUAUGGAUUUUAGUAGUUGUCACUCGUAGACUAUUGUAUGUGCUAGUAGUCUUGUGUUCUUCCUUUUGAUGGUAUUUGCUACUAUAUUUCCUUUACUGUGAUGAUAUCAAGUUUUACAAUCAUAAUUUUUUAGCAAAUACAUCCACCUCCUCUAUCAUAUAUUAAGUUCUAUAAGAGAAAAUAGAUAUUGCAAGCUCUUAAGAUUUAUGUAAAUCUUGAAAGUUUUGCCAUAUAGAUAGUGGCGCCAAAUCUUGAGAGAAAACAUGACCGUCACAAAUUUUAGGUUAUGAUUGGGGUAGUUUCUCUCAUGAGUUUUCAAUUUCGGGACCCAUAAUAAUGUGAUCUUAGACAUGACAAAACAAUAAAACCUAGAAGGCCAAGGAAAAUAUGCCCACGGGCAAGGAGCUACUUGUACUCGCGAGCAUGCUAGUGAGAAUCGCACAGGAGAUAUUAUCCGCACAAAAGAAGAUAACCCAAGAGGCCAUCUGCGGAAUGCAUGGAGGGAACAUGCGCAUGCCCAAUGCACAUGCCAGCAGAACGCAUGAGAAUGAAAUCCUACCGCUUGCGGGAAUUUAGAGUUUUAUCUCAUAUUAGGUUUCUGCCAUUCCAAACCCAUUAAUGGAAUUUCAGACCAAGAAACUUUUCUAAAUUGAUUCACACCUAAGAACAAUCAAAGAAACACAACGAAACCUUAUCCAAAGUUCAUAGAUGGAAGAUUCAAAGAUCUUUUAGGAUAAUUCCAAGAUUUUGGCUUAAGGGAGUUCUCUAAAGCCCAAACAACAUAAGUAUAAGAUGAUUGAGCUUGACUUUAGUCUUGGAUGAUCAAGAACCAAUAAGCCCAAGCCCAAGAAAGAAGCACAAACCUUGGCUAAGCAAGAUCUUGGCUCUUGGCCCACAUGGCCGAGAAGGAGGGGGAAGAAGAAGGCCCGCCCGCACAACAAAGCCUCUUCCCUUUGAGAUGUUCGAUUUUGAGGAGAACCAAGCCUCUAUAACUGACGAUAAAAAGGAAACAAGAAGAAGAAUAUAAAAAAGAGCUAUCCAUGAGGCUCCAAGGAAAAGCAAGCCGCAAACAGUAAAGAAAACUGAAAAGAAAGAUAAGGAGGCAUACCCGAGAGGAAGAUAGAUUUUUUAUCCUCUAUGCAUUAUUCUUUACUAGUUUUUGUUUUCUUUUAGAUUACAAGAACUGUAUAAGAAGACUUUUACAUGAAGAGAGGAUACAAUUUCAAGAAGGAGACAACUACAUCAAGAAAAAAGGAAUCGAACUCCCACCAAGAUUCGACCAAGAACACUUUAUCCUAGCCGAAUUCCCAUCACUUUUCCUACUCCAACUCUAAAGGUUUGAAUAUUUCCCCAACACUAAAUACUCACAAGAAAUAAAGAAAAAAUGCAAGAAGAAUAAUUGAAGAUGAAUUAGGAAGGCCAAACCCGAUUAGGAUUACCAUUUGGCUAAGUUGGAAAGACACACUCUUUUUUGAAAAAAUUAAGUCUUUUAUUAUUACUUAAGUGUAAUCCUAAUCUAGGUCGACUUAAGAGUUUGGCUAGAAUUAUUUAAUUUGUUCUCUAGUAGACUAAACAUGGUAGAUACUUAUAUAAGGAGGCCAUCCUUUCAGUUGAUUUCAUUCCAAUUCAAGUUAUCAAUAAUAUUCAAGUUUUUUAUUUUUGGCUAAUUGCUAAUUGUGAGUGCUCUUUAAGACGGUGUCUUCAACCAUGUUAUUGAGUAACGGGUUCAUUCUACUUAUCAAGAUGAGUCCUAAUGGUGUUUUAUCAAUCCAUCCUUAAAUUGAUUUUACUUAUCAAGAGUCAUUGAUGCAAAACCCAGGAUCAACUAACGUGAUAAAAAACUCCACAUAUAAUAUUAGUAUACAAAAGACUUCAAACCCUCAAUAAACUCUCUCUACUUAACCCACAUUAAAUCCGUGAAUUCAUACUAAGGUAAUUGGGAUGAAUUCAAUUGAUUAAAUUCCAUAAGAAUUUAUCUUUAUAAGUAAAAUAAACUCAAAGAUAGAUUGAUAAAACACCGCAAGGGAAUUAUCAUGACAAAUGUAAUUAAUCCUUCAAUCAAUCAAAAUGGUUGAAGAUAACCUCUCAAAGAGCCCUCAGAAUAGCUAAGGCUAAAACAAACUUGAAUUUUAUUAACUUGAACUAAAUUGAAUUAAAACCUAAGUGUUGCCUUUAUAUAGGCUUUGACCAUACUUAUUCUACUAGAAAAUGGAAUUAAAAUCCUAAUCAAAUUCCUAAUUCUACCUUAUUUAGGAAAUCAUUAAAAUAUCAAUUAAAAGACUAAAAUUUGAUUAAAACUUGAACUCUCCUCUCUUUAAUCAAUUAAAGUCUCCCAUUCGGAUUGAAUUGUCUAUGUUAUAUUUGGAUUGGACUCCUUGAAUAUUUAAUUAAUUUGUUAUAAAAGUUGGUGUUAAAGAUGUUCAAAGAACCCUUAUUCCUUAAGUAUAAUCAAAGCCCUUCUUUAAGUAGAAACUAAAUUCCUUAUUUAAGUAAAAAUCAAAGUGCUUCUUUAAGUCAAAGUCAAAGUCCUUUUUUAAGUAAAAAUCAAAUUCCUUCUUUAAGUAGAGUUCCAAUUAGAACUUUAGAUAGGAGAAGAAAUCAUUCUCCUUUGAUGUUUCUUUUUUCUUUUUGAUUUCUUGUGUCAUAAAAUCAAAAGAGGAUUCCAUGUAGAAUUCACAUUCUUCCUUUCUGGUUUCUUUCUCUUCAUGCCACAAUCCUAGUGCCAUUUGGAGUGGGAAUUUGAUUUCCUCAUAAAUUCCUCCUCUAUUUCUUUGGCCAUAUAUCCUCUGAUCUUGAUCUGAUCUGGAUCUGAAUCUANNNNNUUGAAUCUCAAUUCUUGAUCCUUGAAUCUUGAUCUUGAUUUUGAUUCUUGAUUCUUAAUUUUGGUCAUCUUCUUAGUUUUUUUCCACUCAUGGUCACAAGAGUCCUUUAGGGGAUGGGAAUCUUUUAUCCUGCAGGUGUGACUGUCAAUCCCACAAGAUUCUUGAAGCUUGUGGGUUCCUUGAGACUCACGAGCUUCUUCUAAUUUGAGGGCUUUACUCUUCCCAUAUAUGAGCACUAAUUCCUAGGGUUCAGCUUGGACUUUAGAGUGUGUUUUUAGCAUAGGGGGAUCACAUCAUACCCUUCUUAUUUGAAAAGAUUCAUCCUUAAAUCUUGACUAUCUUUAUCCCAGAGUUAUACUUGUGAGUAAUCUCUAAAGUCUUACAAGAUAUCAUCAUUGUAAAUAAAAGAAUUAGUAAAUAAACAUGACUCAUCUUGGCUGCAGGUUUCCUCUCAAUCUUUUGUAUCUUCCAUGAUAGGAUGCUCGACCUUUGCAGGCGCUUGAAUCUCCUCUUGACAAUGAGAGCUCUCUGUCACAUCAUUAUGUGAUUGGAUUGCCUCUUCUCUUAAUGCCUCUCACAUUAAUUCCCUCACUCAUUAAGAAGAUAUUGGAAUUUCCAUAUAGAAUACCAUAUUCCAUUAAAAUCUUCAUGAAAAUUCAUUGUGAUAAACCUGUAAGAAAAGUUAGUGGAAAAUAAGACUCCCUCAUAAUUAAUCGUGUUUACUUAUCUCUCAAUCAUCUUCCCUCAAGUUGAGCAUCAAGAUUGAUUCCUCUAGAAUCAAGGAACUUAAGUUUGACUUACGAAAGAAGAUUACAGAAUAAUGUUAUAUGUAAUGCAAAACAUAAGGACGAAGAUGGUGUAGGAUAGGUACAACGAAUAUCAAAUGUAUAUAUAUUAAUUUUAUUUAUUUGACGGGUAUGAAUGGAUAUAGUAAAUAUACAAGGGAUAACUAAUGGAAUUAAAAAAAUACAAUGCAAGAUAAUAGCAUUUAUCUUGAGUUUAAGCUAUAAUACCAAAUGAUGCAAAACUCAGGAUCAACUCGCAUGAUAAAAACCCACAUAUAGUAUUAAUAUGUAAAAAACUUCAAACUCUAAAUAAACCCUUCCUACUUAUCCCAUAUUCAACCUGUGAAUGCAAAGUAAGGAAUUGGGAUAAACUAAAUUGACUAAAUCUCUUAAAAAUUUAUUUUUAUAAGUAAAAUCAACUCAAAGAUAGAUUGAAAAAAUGUCGCAGGGAAAUUACCUUGAUAAAUAGAAUCAAUCGUUCACUCAAUCAAGAUGGUUAACGACAACCUCUCAAAAAACACUCACAAUAUUCAAGGUUAAAGCAAACUUGAAUUGAAUGUUUUUGGCAUAGUCGAGAUCNNNNNNNNNNNNNNNNNNNNNNNNNNNNNNNNNNNNNNNNNNNNNNNNNNNNNNNNNNNNNNNNNNNNNNNNNNNNNNNNNNNNNNNNNNNNNNNNNNNNNNNNNNNNNNNNNNNNNNNNNNNNNNNNNNNNNNNNNNNNNNNNNNNNNNNNNNNNNNNNNNNNNNNNNNNNNNNNNNNNNNNNNNNNNNNNNNNNNNNNNNNNNNNNNNNNNNNNNNNNNNNNNNNNNNNNNNNNNNNNNNNNNNNNNNNNNNNNNNNNNNNNNNNNNNNNNNNNNNNNNNNNNNNNNNNNNNNNNNNNNNNNNNNNNNNNNNNNNNNNNNNNNNNNNNNNNNNNNNNNNNNNNNNNNNNNNNNNNNNNNNNNNNNNNNNNNNNNNNNNNNNNNNNNNNNNNNNNNNNNNNNNNNNNNNNNNNNNNNNNNNNNAAUGUAGGUCAAGUAGGGAGGAUUUUUUAAGAGUUUAAGAUCUGCAUACUGAUGUGUAUGUGAAUUUUUUAUCAUAUGGUGAUCAUAGGUACGCAUACUUACAUAAGCAAUAAUCUUUCCAUGUUGCAUUAGUACAUAGUCCAACCCUUUAGUGGAAGCAUCACUAUAUAUCACAUAACCACCCAUGGCAUAAAAAAUUGUUAACACCAAUCUAGUGAUCAAACAAUGCUUAAGUUCGAUGUUCUUUUUAGUUAGCCGAGUGAACGGAGCUUCAAUGUUUGAAAACCUUCCACAAAUUAGUGGUAAUAUUCUACUAGUCCUAGGAAACUCUUAAUUUCAGUAAUAAUUGUUGGUUGCUUCCAAAUUAUUACAGCUUCGACCUUAGAGGGAUUUACAGAUACACCAUCUCUUGAGACAAUAUAUCCUAGAAAAAAGAUAUGUUCAAGCCAAAACUUGCACUUACUCAACUUAGCGUACAACCAAGCUUUUCUGAGGAUUUCUAAUGCAUAAGUCAAAUGUUUUGAAUGCUUUUCUCAGUUCUUGGAAUAUAUUAGGAUGUCAUCUAAGAAAAUAAUUAUGUACUGAUCCAGAAGGAGCUUGAAUACGCUAUUUAUUGAUUCCAUAAAUACUAUAGGCACAUUUUUCAAUCCAAAAGGCAUGACCAGAAAUUUGCAAUGGCCAUACCUAGCUUGAAAUGUUGUUUUAGUGACAUCCUCUACUCUAAUCCUCAACUAAUGAUAUCUUAAACGUAAAUCUCUUUUUAAAAACACUUACAUUCUCUGUAUAAGAUGAAAAAGCCCAUCUAUUUUCGGGAGUGGGUACUUAUUUUUAAUAGUUGCAUGGUUUAGAUCCCUAUAAUCUAUGCAUAGUCAUUUUGUUCCAUCUUUCUUCUCGACAAAUAAAACCAGUGUGUCCCAAGGUGAUACACUUGGUCGAAUGAACCUUUUGUCUAACAGUUCUUGUAGUUGCUUCUUCAGUUCCUCUAAUUCAGGCCUUGUCAUUCUGUACAGGGCUUUAGAAAUUAAUUGUGUUCCUAGUUGGAAUUCGAUUGAGAAUUUAACCUCUCUAUCAGGAAAUAGACUUGGGAGGUCUAUAGGGAAUACAUAAGGAAAAAUUUUGAUCACUAAUAUAUCCUGAACCAUGGCCUUUUUAUUCUCGUUCACUAUCAAACAUAUUAAUAGAAUCCAUAAAAGAAAAAAACAUUUUUAUUACAUUUAUUUUUCUGAAGCACUUUUUCAUCGUUUUUAAUAUUCGUGUAUUAUAGGACAAGAAUAUUAGUAAUUUUUUAAAUAGAAAAUGUUCUUUAUUGAGGAUCUUACUAAUGUAGUCCACAUUUGUAAGGUAGGAUGUCAACCAGUCUAUUCUUAAGAUUAUCUCAAAAUUUUUAAUAUUCAAUAGUGUUAAAUCUACCUCUAAUUCUCUAGUUGCAACUUUUAUAGUACAAGAUUUAUACACUACAUCAGCAUAUAAAAUAUUAUUCAUCACUGUGGACGUUGCUAAAAUCCAAUUCAAGGGAAUUGGAUUGACUUUCAAACACAGUGCAAAUGCAUGUGAAAUAAAUGAAUGUGUGGACUCAGGAUCAAUUAAAACUUUAGCGAGAUGUUUAUAGAUAGAAAACAUAUCCUGGAUUACGUCUAGUGUUGCCUCUGAAUCUUAAGUGUUGAUGGUAAAUACUCUGCCCUAAACGAGUGGUUUGUCUUGCUUUGUGAUUCUUAGGAAGUCUUAGAUAAGAUGUUGAGUAUUAUCGCACUUGAAAUAACCACACAUUGUACAAACAUAUUAGAGUAACAGGGUCGAUCAUCAUGAUUCCUACCACAGCGUGUGCAGCUUUGUGUAUUCAUGACCAUUGAGAUCCUAGGUGUGGAGAUAUGAACUGCCAUCUAUUUCUGACGCGAGGAGCCUCAAGAUCAAAACACAUUGAUCAUGAACCCACAUCUACACAAGUAUGCAAAAACUUAAUUCCCUAAUUAGACCCUCAUUACUUAAAUAACAUUCAAUAACUNNNNNNNNNNNNNNNNNNNNNNNNNNNNNNNNNNNNNNNNNNNNNNNNNNNNNNNNNNNNNNNNNNNNNNNNNNNNNNNNNNNNNNNNNNNNNNNNNNNNNNNNNNNNNNNNNNNNNNNNNNNNNNNNNNNNNNNNNNNNNNNNNNNNNNNNNNNNNNNNNNNNNNNNNNNNNNNNNNNNNNNNNNNNNNNNNNNNNNNNNNNNNNNNNNNNNNNNNNNNNNNNNNNNNNNNNNNNNNNNNNNNNNNNNNNNNNNNNUUGUGCUUAAUUUGUAUUUGAGAAACCCUAAUUAUGCGGACGUAGGCCAUACUAACUCAUCUAUUUUAUUCAGCAGCUUCUUAUCGUAAUUCGUAAAUUAUGUCGAUUUUUAUUUUGAUUUUAUUUAAUUUUAGUUGAUUUUAUUUUAAUCUAAUUAUUUAUUAUUAAACAAAUUUCAGAAGAACGAAAAACAUGAGAAAAUCCCGCGAUGAAGGGUUGCACGCACGGGCGCUUGUGCGCUGUGUGUGCGCACGUGUGACACAUCAAUCCUACAUGCAUCUUGUCGCGCGCAGGUAGGCCAUCCGCAUGUCACCUCGUACAGGGAGAGGCACUGCACAUUGUGCGUGCGCCGUCCGCACAAUAGACCUGCACGAAUAGGCCCCUUUACCCUUGGGGCCCGCGUACAGUAGGCCUGCGCGCACAGCACCCAUUGUGCAUAAGCCCUGGCGCGUGCAGGCUAGCUCUUGCACGCACGGCAGGGUAGUCCUGCACCUGCAAGAUAGCCCUGUAGCGCACUGGGUGGGUGAGGCCACUGUCGCCUCGGGCAGUCUGCCACCACCCACCUUGGGCGGCGUGCCGCUGCUUUUAACACCAUCGUCGAUGGAGGUCUUCUUCAUCUAUUUUUUAUGUUGAGCAUCUUUUUCUCUCUCUUUUCACUGGAUUUUACCACUUGGUGUAAAUCUAACGACCCCAAUUUUUUAUCAAUAGGGGCCAUUCCUUCCCAUUUUCUCCACACUUUCAUUCUUCCACGUUUAAGGAAUUAGAGAGAGAGAAAGAAAAUAAUUUAGAGAUAGAAUGAGAUAAAGAAAAGAGGAACAGUGUAAAAGAAAUUAUCGAAGUUUUAGUAUGGAAUUUAGUAUUUCUUCAAAUGUCUUAAAGGGUAUUUUUAGAUAAAAAGAAAAGAUAAAAUUGAUAAUUUGUUAUUUUGCCUGUUUUGCAUGCUUUGUGUUUAUAGGUUUAAUAAAUUGAAUUUCAUGAUUUCAAGCAUACUAUGUCACUUAUAGACGCUUGAUGACCUGCAUAUAAUUAUAAUAAUAUGAAACUGGUAAGGUUAUCUGGAAAAAUUAAAAGAAAAGAACAAAAAAAAAAAAGUAGAAUGAAGCAUGAAUGGUCCGAAGUAUGUAUAUGUAUUGACAUGCAUAAUGUAUCAAAUAUCUCAUUAGCCUUUUUNNNNNNNNNNNNNNNNNNNNNNNNNNNNNNNNNNNNNNNNNNNNNNNNNNNNNNNNNNNNNNNNNNNNNNNNNNNNNNNNNNNNNNNNNNNNNNNNNNNNNNNNNNNNNNNNNNNNNNNNNNNNNNNNNNNNNNNNNNNNNNNNNNNNNNNNNNNNNNNNNNNNNNNNNNNNNNNNNNNNNNNNNNNNNNNNNNNNNNNNNNNNNNNNNNNNNNNNNNNNNNNNNNNNNNNNNNNNNNNNNNNNNNNNNNNNGGAACCACUAGCUGACAUACCCAUUAAAGUUUAUGAGGAUCCUGCGGAUCCACAAAACUUAAGUACAUAAUCAUUCCCACACUCUGAUGAGUCCAAUAACAUAGUAAAAGAAGUGGCCUUCUUUUGUAUUUGGACAUCCUUCUUUGAAACGGUGCAAGAACCACCUCUUCAAAAGGCAAAAGCCUAUUUUAUUCUACAAUUUUUUUUACAACCAUGUGCAUUCAGACUUACACAGUUCAUUAAGUACUACAUUUUUUUUAUAAAACACAAUGUACAUCGCAAAUAAAUUGGUAAGAAUAUCUUCUAGAUUUUCCCUUGGGACAAUACCUAAUCCCUACAUCUUCUAUAAAACGUCCAGUUUUUUUACUCUUAGUUUUUUUUAUUAUUCUAAACUUUAGUUUCCUGAUACAUCUGAGCAUCUAUGUGAUAUCCCAAGUGCUAAUUAAGGUAAAUGGAUGUCAGACACAGAUUUAAAAUAACGAGUGUAUGAUAGAAUUUAUGCAACAGAACAAAAUCAUUAUAAAUCCCUUACAAAUACAUAUGAGUUCUAAUACAUACAUACACUGAGGCCAAAAGUGGUUGCAAAAUAAAAAAACAAAACAUAAGGGUCAUUUUCUUCACUAUGAUAUUGGACUCAUCGGAGUGCAGGAACAGUCAUGCACUCAGACUUGUGGAUCCAUGGGAUCCUCAUAGACUUCCAAGGGUAGGUCAGCUUCCGGUUCUUCACUUUUUUUCUCAUCUAGAGGCGGGGGCAUAGAAAGAGUGAAUUUCAUAUACUCAGUAAUGAAAACAGUAUUAAAUUAAUACCGUAAGAUUUCAAGAGUUAAUUAUUUUAUCUUACCAUUUAACAUCCUUGUUUACCUAUCUCAUAUUAUGGAAAAUUAUUUAUUUGUUAAGAAAACGAUACAUUAAUACAGAAAAUCAAACAUACAUCAUGCCAGAUAAUAGAGAAAAUUAAAUAAAUCGUGAAAUGUUCAAAUUUUCAUGUCAUGCUUCGUGAAGUCAUUACAACUUCAAUCUUUGAGGGCAGAUACAGAUUUCUAACUACCCGAGUAGAAUGACCAUAUUAGAUAUAGAUACAGCAUAACAGAUAUCUACAAUCACGAUAUUACUUAGUCUUGGGUGACCCUUACAGAUAAUGCGACACCACUCUCAUCAGAGGGUAUGUCGUUAUCCACUAGGAGCGUUCCUCUUACGUCUUUUUAGACAAGAUAGGGGAGGGGGAAACAGAUACCCCUCAGAGAUAAAAAUUCUAACGAGACAAUUGGUGCAAUAUGAUGUCAAUACAAAUACACUUUGAACCAAACAAGCUUCAUUCCACUUUUCUUUUUUUUUUCUUUUGUACUUUUUACUUUUACCUAUUACAUAUUAUAUUUAUUACAUGCAAAUUCAUUAAGUGUCUGCAAUUCACAUAACAUGCUUAAAACUCAGAAAAAUUCGACUCAUUUGAACACAGAGGCAUACAAAAUAGGCAAAAUAACAAUCAUAUUAAAUUAGUUUAUCUAAAAAUAUUCCUUAAGAUGUCAAAAGAAAUACUAGAUUUCUUAUCGAAACAUUGAUGUUUUCUCCUUCACCAUUCUCCUUUCUUUCUUUUCUUCCCUCAUUAGACUACUAUCUCUCUUUCUCUAAACCUUUGAAAAAUUGAAGAAUGAAAGUGUGGAGAGGAAGAAGGGGGAGGAAUAUUUAUAGAGUUUUAGAACCGUUGGAUUCGUGCUAAGUAGCGAAAUCCAGUGAAGAGAGAGGAAAAAAAGAUGCUCGACACAAAAAAUAAAGGAGGAGGGCUCCUCCACCGUCGGUGGUGGUGCGUCGCCCAAGGCAGCAGUGGUGCACUGCUGGCUAGCCUACAGGCGCACAAAAAUCCUGUCAUGCGCAUAGGGGCUAGCCUGCGUGCGCGUAGGGCCCAAGCGCAUUGGGCACUGUGCACGCAAGCCCCAGGCGCAUAGGUCCUAUCUUUGCAGGCCUGUUAUGCGGACGGCAUGCGCACAGUGUGCGGCGCCUGUCCACGCGCGAGGUGACGCAUGGACAGCCCGCCUGCGCGCGACAGGACGCGCGCAAGUUUUGACCCCUCACCAUGUGCGCGGAGUGGACGUGUGCACUGUGCGCACGUCUUGUCUACGUGCACGCACGCACAUCUCGUGACCACUGUGCGCGCAUAUGCGCGCAAACAGUGCUCAACACUCGCACUGGUAACCAGACUCAUCGCGAGAUUUUUUCCAUGGGAUUUUCUUCCCAAUUCGUCGUUUUUUUUAAUUUUUUUCUCAAUUUUCAUAUUUAAUUUAAAUCAGUUAGAAUAAAAUUAUUUAAAAUAAAUUAAAUUAAAUUAAAUAAAUAAAAAUCAACCAAAAUUACGAAUUAUGAUAAAUAUUAAGCAAUGUAAAUUAAUUAAGUUUAACGCAGCCAAAGGCCCGAAUAAAAGGGUUUCCAAAUCAUUUUAGCACAGUGAUGGGUGGGAUAUUACAAUCUAAAUGCAUCUUAGAGUUUAGCAUAAUUGAUAACACACUACCUCUUUCUUCGUGUGUUACACUCUUACUUCUAGUAUUGGUGCGGUAUUUGUUCUAUAGGACUCCUUGCAGUAUUUUAAAAUAAUAUUUGAGAACACUUUUAUUCAAGAGAAUAUAUUUGACACUCAACUUGAGGGUGGGAGAUAAAAAGGUAAAAAGCAAUAAUGUGUGAGAAUAUCAAACGGUAAAAGCCAAGUGAGUAAAACACGAGAGACCAGUGAAGAAUCUUUAUUUGUUAUUACUAACCUCUUUUACAGGGAACUCUUUUCUAAAGAUGUAAAGCAAGCACCAAAGCCCCAUCGACAUAAUACUCUUUAUGGAGGCUAUGCAAGCAAAACUGAGACAACUCAAUAAAAAGAUGGAUAAUCUAAUUGGUGGCCAAAGUGAGGAAAGGCACGGGACUGCAAACACCAAACAGCCUAGGACUCAACACCAUGAUGAUGAGGUCGGGUCCUGUAAUGAUGAGGAGGAAGAUAGGGCGGAGAAGAGAGAAGAAAAAAGGAAUAGUAAUAUCAACUCCAUCAAGAUGAUAAUACGACCUUUCAAUGGUAGAAAUGAUGCUAAAGCAUAUUUGGAGUGGGAGAAGAAUGUAAAACUAGCCUUUGACUGCCACAACUACCACGAGGAAAAGAAGAUCAAACUAGCAGCGGUAGAGAUCACUGACUAUGCCUUAGUGUGGUGGGAUCAACUACUCCUCAUUAGACGGCAUAAUGGAGAACGACUAAUAUCCUCAUUGAGAGAGAUAAAAGCAAUCAUGUGAAAAAGUUUGUACCCACUUACUACUAAAAAGAGAUACAUCAAAAGUCACAGCGUUUAACGUAGGAGUCUAUGUCCGUUGAGGACUACCACAAGGAGAUAGAGAUGGUUAUGAUCAGGGAAAAUAAAGAAGAAGAUCCUAAAGUAACUAUGGCGAGAUUCCUCGGAGGUCUCAAUAGGGACAUUGUUAACAUGGUGGAAUUACAACACUAUGUGGAGGUGGAGGACAUGGUCCACAUGGCCAUAUAGAUUGAGAGACAACUACAGAGUAAAGGUAAGAGAAUAUUCCAUACUACUUCUACCUUUAACUCAAGAUGGCUGAAGAAUGAGGAAAAGAAGGGAGUUGAGUCAACAAUCUAUGGUUACAUGCUCCCACUUCCACUCAGGAAUUUGGAGGCCUUGUAACAAACGAUCAGCUCUCUAAUGUUUUGCCUUAGUCCUCUUGCUGGUGAGGCAUUGGGAGAUGUAGUCGACUAUGUAUUUCUUUAUUCCCGGUCACCAGUAUUAACGCAUUAAGUCUCAAUACAUCUUGAUACUCCUGGAAUGGAUGGGUAGCUUGGAAGCAUGGGUGGUCUUGAGAACAUCUGCCCUUACAACGACAGGGACCAAAUUCAGUUUCAAAAUCUAAACAAUCCAUCAUCUGAAAUUCUAAAAUUAAGAAAUUUAUUAGAGGAGAACUUACCUAAAUUCUUGGUGAGUUUUUGGUCCGUGGACUAAGCUUCCCAGAUUUUCAUAAAGAGAUCCGACAGGGCUCAGAUUUGAGCAAGAUAGGUGUCUUUGUCAUAGUAGCUAAGGCAGAGAGACUGCAUAGUAUCCAUCAAUUUCCAAGUGGAGGCCAUGGUUUGGGCCAAUACUAUAGACUUCUUUUGACUUAGCACAUCUGCAACAACAUUUCCUCUACUGGGGUGAUAGAUGAUCUUACAAUCAUAGUCCUUCAGAAGAUCCACUCAGCAUCUCUGUCUCAUAGUUAACUCCCUCUAGAGAAGAUGUACUUCAAAAUCUUAUGGUCAGUAUAAAUCUCGAAAGUUUGACCAAACAGGUAGUGACACCAUAUCUUUAGGGCAAAAAUGAUGGUCGUCAACUCUAGGUCAUGGGUAAGGUAGUUUCGCUCAUGAGGUUUCAACUGUCGGAAUCCAUAAGCAACUACUUUACCAUACUGCAUCAAGACACACUCUAAGCUAAUAUGAGAUGCGUCACAAUACACCUGAAAUCUUCUAAUAUUGUUAGGAAGGAUCAAUACAGGAGUAGAUGUGAAACGAUGCUUCAAUUCCAUGAAGCUUUCAUUGCAUUCGUAAUUCUAAACAAAUGGUACACUCUUUCAGGUGAGUCGAGUCAAUAAAGCGACAAUCUAAGCAAAUCUGUCAAUGAAUCAUGGAUAGUAACCUACCAAGCUAACGAAACUACGUACCUCAGCCACAUUAGUGGAUGGAGUCUAGUUGACCACUAUUUCAACCUUGGAUGGAUCUACAAAAACUCCUUCACUCAAAAUUACAUGACCAAGGAAGGAAACUUGAUCCAACCAGAAGGAGUAUUUGCUAAGUUUAGCAUACAAUUGGUUCCGGCGAAGGGUCUCUAACACUUCAGUCAAGUGUACUGGAUGCUCCUCCAGACUCUUAGAGUACACUAAGAUGUCAUCAAUAAAAAAGAUGACGUACUAAUCUAGUGCAUGCUAGAAAAUUAUGUUUAUGAGGUCCGAGAAGGUUGCAAAGGCAUUGGUUAACUUGAACGGCGUUACCCUGAAUUCGUACAAACUGUACCUACACUAGAAAGCAGUCUUCAGAAUAUCUUAUUCCUUGACUCUCAGCUGGUAAUAUCUCAUUCUGAGGUCAAUCUUAAAGAAGACUGUAGCUCCUUACAAUUGAUCAAAGAGGUGGUCGAUCCAAGGUAAGGAGCACUUACUUUUAACUGUCACUAGGUUGAGUUCCUGGUAGUCCACACAAAGUCUGAGGAAACCAUCUUUCUUUUUCACGAACAAUAUGGGAGCGCCCCAAGGAGAAUGACUAGGGCGGAUAAACAUCCAGGUAAUUAGUUCAGAAAGCUGAUUUUCUAACUCCGUAAGUUCAGCUUGAUUCAUACGAUAUGCGGGCUUCGAGAUUGGUUGGGUUCUGGGCAGCAGUUCAAUUAGGAACUCUACUUCUCGUGGGGGAGGCAAACUAAGAAGUUCAAUGAGAACGACAUCUGAAAAAUUGCAAACAAUCGGUAUAGAACACACAGCAGGAUCAACACCCAUAUUCUUAUUUAUUCAAUUGUUAGGAAAAAUAAUAACAAUAGAUUUUAUUCCUUUUUCACGGACCGCAAAGUUAUAAUUUUACUUUCACAAUCGCUUAUUGCUUUAUACUUUUCUAACCAGUCCAUUCUUAAUAUCACAUCAAAUCCUGAAAAAUUUAACAAUAUUAUAUUCACAAAUACUUCUAUCUCUGAAACUUUUAUCUUAUAAUCUUUAUAUACACAGUGAGCUGCUAAUAGUCCCCUAGAGGAAGUUUCUACUAUUAAUAUUUUUGCUAAAGGUUCUGGCCUAAAAUCAAGAUUACAAGUAAAUGCACAGGAAAUAAAAGAGUGAGUAGCACUUAUAUUGAUCAAAGUCUUGGCAGAAGUAUCAUGAAUAGAAAGCAUACCCUGAAUAAGAACAGGAGUGGGGAGAGCAGCAGGUUCAUCUAGGUGGUACACACAAGCUUGUGCUACAAGCUUGGUUAUGUCCUUCGGUCGUUGGGGGUAAUCUUUUAUAAGAUGUUGGGUGCUUCAGCACCAAUAAUAGGCGUGAUUGAUAUGUCGACAUGGCAAGUCACCAUGCGAGUGACCACAAUGCUGACAGGGUUGGUUAGGUCAGGCAAGCUGAGCUACAGGUGAAGUCAAGGUAGGGGAAAUGGCAACUCUAAUUCGUUUAUUGAGGUGGCUACUUACUGGAUCUGGCAAUCUCCUUCUAGGCCGUUAGGGUUGUUGUUCUUGGGCAUGUGAAAUGAGGUCUUCAGCCAAUUAGGCAUGUUCUAGCACCUUCGCAUAUGAGCUGGGUCUCAGCAUUGCAACCCAACCAUUGAUAUCAGCACGAAGGCCCUUUAGAAACUUCCUAGCUUUUUUACUUUCAGGGGGUGACCAUUAAAGAGGUGAAUCUAGAUAGUUGGACAAAACGGGCUGCAUACUAGGCAAUCGUUAGGUUUUUUUGGCGAAGAUUCUAAAAUUUCUACUCCUUUUUUUCCCAAACAUAGGCAGGAAAGAAAUUAUCACAGAAUGCACCCAUCAAAACUUCUAAGGUGGUAGGGGUAGGAAGUAUUUCCUUGUUAAGUCGUCACUAGUGUUCUGCUUCACUGUUUAGCAUAAAGGCUGCUAGGAAAACUUUAUGUUCCUCAGUUAGGUCUAAGAGAGAGAAAAGUUUUUCUAUCUAUAGGAUCUAGACUUCGGCUACUAAGGGAUCAGGGCCACCUUCGAAAUGAGGCGGGUUAAGCUUCCUAAACUCCACUAUGUUGUGGGAAAUGGACCUUUCAGUCAUUUGGUAUUCUGGGGCAGGAGGUGGAUAAGGGUUGGCUUGAUUUUUUCCUACGGUUGCAAUCAAUUUCUGGACGGUUAUGAAAAGUUCGGCAAAUUCAGCCUUGGUCGAGUGAUCUAGGGUUUCAGAUCGCUCAGUACGCUCUACGAAUGGUCUUCCUUGCGUCAUUCCUAUAAAAGAAAAGAAGAUACGAGUUAGUGGUCUGAUUUUUACAAAUAGGACUUAUUCUUCCUAGGUACUCUAAGGGUCUUUCGACCUAAGGCCUCAGUGUAAGGGAUUUGAUCCAUGUAAUUCUGCUCUAAUACCAUCUGUGACAUUCCAAAUGCUAAUUAAGGCAUGUGGGUAUCAAAUACAGAAAUAGAAUUAUGAGUGCAUGAUAAAAUUUUAUAUAGCGGAAUAAAUUAAUACAUAUCCUUUACAAAUAUAUAUGAGUUCCAAUUACAUAUAUAUAAUUGAGGCUAAAAGUGGCUACAAAAUACAAAAUCAAAAUAUAAAAGAGGGUAACUUCUUUCAUUACACUAUUGGACUCAUCAGAGUGCGGGAACAAUCAUACACUCAAGUUUUGUGGAUCCACGGGAUCCUCAUAAACUUCAAUAGGUAAGUCAGCUGGCAGUUCCUCAUUUUAUUCCUCGUCGGGGGNNNNNNNNNNNNNNNNNNNNNNNNNNNNNNNNNNNNNNNNNNNNNNNNNNNNNNNNNNNNNNNNNUCGGGGGGGGGGGAGGGGGAGGGCAUGAGAAGAGUGAGUUCUAUAAAGCUCAGUAAAAAAAAUAAUAUUUAAAUAAUAUCGUAAGGUUUUAAAGGUGAAUUAUUCUAACAUAAAUACUUAUCAUUUGGUUAUUUCGAAGACCUAUCUUAUAUUAUGAAAAUAAUUUAUUAAUUAGAGAAAAUAAUAUGUUAAUAUAAACUAACACACAUCAUACCAGAUAAUAGAGAAAAUCAAAUAAAUUAUGAAAUGCUCAGAUUUUUGUGUCAUGCUUCACAAAGUUAUUAUAACUUCCAUCUCUGAAGGCAGAUAUAGAUUUCUGACUACCCAUAUAGAAUGACCAGAUUAGAUACGGAUAACGAUAAUUUACUCAGGCACAUUUCCACUUAGCCAAACCAUGGUACGAUCUAUGAUCUACGACCACGACCGUACAAACUAUAGUGGCCCUAUCAGAUUUCUAUAAUCACGAUAGUACAUUUCCACUUAAUAAUUUUUGUUGUGUGCUCGUUCCGAGCCUGUUGUGCACCCAUGCGCGCGCACAAUUCACAAGUGCCCACACGGAGAGCACCCCUUUCUCGCUGGAUUUUCCCACGAGAUUUCUUCCACUUUGCCGUUUUUUUCUAAAUUCAUUUUUAAUCGUACUAAAAUAAAGUAAAAAUAAAAUUAAUGUAAUUAAAAUAAAAUUAAAUAGAAUUAAUUAAAAAUAAAAAUUUAAAUAAUAUAAAAAUAAUUAAAAUCGGUAUAAUUCACAAAUUACAAUAAUAACUUGUGGAAUAAAUUAAAUGAGUUUAAUGCGGCCUAAAGGCCUAAAAAAAUAGGAUUUCUUUGAAAUCAAUUAAGUACAGUGAUGGGUGGGGUGUUACAGUAGGACUCUACUUCUUUUGUUUUUUCUUUUCUCCCUUUAUCCACAUACUUUUUAUUCCAAUGAGGAUUCUUCUUGAUGAUCGCCUAGAAAAAAGAAGUACAGCUUGAGAAUAACUCUUUCUGUUGUAAAAACAACCUCUCUCACGUGUGAGGGAACCUUGCGGGUGGGGUUGCCCCUCCUACACAUGUGUUUGCCCACACAUGUGAACAAGGACAUUUACAUGAGUGGCAUGUGAGAUCUGUGACUUUCCUUGGCUGGUCUACCUUUAUUUGACCUUCUCUUAGGCCUCCCAAGUGAGCUCAUCAGUUACCCAUUAUUGGACCAAUAAGUUGAAAAAUAGUUAAAACUUCACCCAACUCCUCAAGAUUGGGCUUAGGGGCAUUUAGAUCCUGCUUCCUAACUCUCAAAGAUCAUCUUGAUUAUUUUUGGGCUGCCUUUGGACUUGAGAUGGAUUAGAAAAUAAUAAUGAAUUAGGAAAUGAGUUAGGCUCCAAGUAGGUUUUCACUCUAGUGCUUGGGCCAGGAGUCUCUAAAGAAGGAAAGAAAUCCUUGUGGGAUUGGGAUUCUUCACGAAAAUUCUUCUCGAUACUGUCUGCGGGUACGCGAGGGUUUUCAAUUCUACGAGGUAACUCCUUUUUCAUGUUCAAAUUCAAAUAAUUCCCCCUUCUUUGAAAAAAAUUCAUCCUUGAAUCUUCACCUAUAUCAAAAAAAGAUAGAUUUGAAACAUUAAAAGUAGUAAACACUCAAUCCUCACCUGGUAGGUCAAUCUUGUAAGCAUUGUUGUUGAGUCAUUCCAAGACUUGAAAUGGCCCAUCACCCUUAGGAUCUAAUUUAGAUUUUCGUUAUUUAGGAAAUCUUUUCUUCUGCAUAUAAAUCGAAACCUAGUUCUUGGUUGGAAGACAACCCAUUUUCUCCCCUUGUUAGCAUUAUGGGUAUAAGAUUCAUUUCGCUUCUGGAUGUGUUGUCGUACCUUCUCAUGUAUAGUUUUAAUAAGGUUGGCUCUUUGCUGGCCAUCUGUAUUCUUAAUUCCAACAAAGGUAUAGGCAUUAGAUCAAGCAAAGUUAAUGGAUUACAACCAUAGACAAUUUCAAAAUGUUAAAAUCUUGCAGAGGUAUGAAUGCUACAGUUAUAUACAAACUCAACUGUAGGUAAACAAUCUUCCUAAAUUCUCAUAUUUUGACCAACUACAACCCUUAUAGAGAAUCUAAGGUUCUAUCGACCACCUUAGUUUGGUAAUCUACUUGGGGGUGACAUGUAGUGGAAAAUAGUAUUUCAGUCCCUAGUUUACCUUAUAACACUCGCCAAAAGUGGAUAAGGAACUUGGCAUCCCUAUCACUUAUGAUAGUCUUGGGAAUGUCGUAUAGCCUCACAACAUCCCUAAAGAACAAAUUAGUAAUAUUUGUCGCAUCAUGAGUCUUAUGGCAAGCAAUGAAGUAUGUCAUUACUAAAUCUGUCCAUUACGAGAAAUAUAUUCUCACUACCUCUCCUCAUUCUAGGUAGACCCAAAGCAAACUAUAUGAAAAUAUAUAUUCAAGGUGUUAUAGGUCAAACCUAGAUUUAGUUUUCCUACAUGCAAUACAUUAGCUACAUAUGCACUAACAUCAUUUUCAUGUUAUGCCAAAUAAAAAUACUCGUGUAGAAUAUUAAAGUCUUGUACCCAAAAUAACUCGUGCGUCGCCUAAUAUGUGUUUCACGAACUAGCAAUUCUCUAAGUAAACAAAUAGGCACAACAUAGCUUACUUUCCUUAAGAAGGAAACCAUCAUAUUUAUAAAACUUUUGGAAUGCAUAAUGCUCACAUACAUGAUAAACAAGGAAAAAAUCUUUAUCAUUCACAUAUAUAACUUUGAUAUGUUCAAAUCCUAAGAAUUUAAAACUUAAUGUAGCAAUUAAAGCAUACAUUCGAGACAAUGCAUCAACAACAAUAUUAUCUUUACCAUGUUUAUACUUGAGGACAGAAGAGAAUGACUUGAUGAACUUUACUCACUUACCAUGUCAACGGUUGAGUUUACCUUGGUCCUUUAGAUGCUUUAAGGACUCAUGAUUAAUGUGAAUCACAAAUUUCUUCGAUAGUAGGUAAUAUUGCCAUACCUCUAAUGAUCUUACCAAGGCAUACAACUCCUUAUCAUAGGUUGAGUAAUUUAGUAGCGCACCACUAAGUUUUUGCUAAAAUAGGAUACCGAACGCCCUUCUUACAUUAGAACUGCUCUACUACCCACACCUAAAGCGUAACAUUCAAGCUCAAAAGUUUUAUUAAAUUUAGGUAAAGAAAGAAUAAGUGCAUAAAAUAGUUAUUCUCUUAAUAAAGUAAAAAUAGAUUCCUGUUUUUAGUCCAUACAAACUUUACAUCUUUCUUAAAAAAUUCAUUUAAUGGGGUUGCAAUGGAACUAAAAUCUUUAACAAACCUGCAAUAAAAGCUUGUCAACCAAUGGAAUCUUUUUACCCCAUUGGUUGUUGUUGGAGUAGGUCUGCUUUCACUUUAUCCUCAUCCACCUCAAUGUUUGUGCACUUACCACAAACCCUAAAAAUAUUAAUUUAUCACUGCAAAAAGUCCAUUUCUUAUCAUUAAAAUAUAACUGCUCAUUCCUAAGAACCUUAAGGACAGACUGGAUAAUAUUGGAGGUACUCCUUUAAGGACUUACAAUAUAUUAGGAUAUCAUCAAAGUAAACUACAAUAAAUUUACCAAUGAACGGUUGUAGGACAUAGUUCAUAAGUUUCAUAAAGGUACUAAGGGCAUUUGACAUACCAAAGGGCAUUAUUAAUCAUUCAUAUAGAUCAUACUUCAUCUUAAAUGUGGUCUUCCAUUUGUCCCCCAGUUUCAUCCUAAUUUGACAAUAACUAUCUCUUAAUAUCUAUUUUAGUAAAAAUAAAAGAAACACUAAGUUCAUCCAACAUAUCAUCCAGCCUAGGGAUGGGGUAUCUAUACUUUACUAUUAUUUUAUUGAUGACUCUGCAACCAACACAUAUCCUUCAAGAACCAUCCUUAUUAGGUGUUAGUAGCAUAGGAACAACACAAGGGCUCUAGUUUUCUCUAACAUGUCCCCUUCUUAACAACUUCUUUACUUAUCAUUGAAUUUCCUUCAUUUCCUCAAGGUUACUUCGAUAGACAGAACGAUUUAAAAUUGAUGCUCCAGGGACAAAAGUCAAGCUAGUGCUCUAUCCUUCAGAGUGGUAGAAGAUCAUCUAGGAUUUUCUCUAAAAAGACAUCCUCGAACUCCUAUAAAAAAAAGGAAACAAGACUAGACAAUGAAGAGGUUAAGGUCAGAUAAGUUUAAAUAAGCCUCUUUAUACUGAAGCACAAUUAGACUCUUUUUCUCAUAAAUUACUCGCCUCACCUCUCAUGCAGUCAUAAAAAGACUUUUUUUUCUUUUCUUUCUCUCACUUUCUCUCAUGGGCCUUUAUUCUUUUUUCUUUUAGGUCUCUUUUUCACUCAGUGGGUCAUUCUUUUUUCUUUCAAUCUCUUUCUCUCUCAAUGGGUUAUUCUCAAUUUUUUUCAGCUUCUUUUUCUCUUAAUGGGUCAUUUCUUUUCUUUUCAGCCUCUUUUUUUCUCAGUGAGCCAUUUUUUUUCUUUUCAACCUCUUUUCUUUCUUUUUCUAUUUUUUGUUCUAAAUGUACAUUAAUAGCUCUCUUGACCUUGAUUUGAUCCUUAUGUACCCCUUUUAGUGAUAGAGGUGUAAAAAUAUGAUUUAGACUUUUUUACGUAACGAGUAACAGUUGGUGAAACCGUUAUGUUGUACUUGUCUAUCAAACUACUAAGAUCUCCUAACUAUCAAAUGACUGGCAUACAUAGGUACAACAUCACAACAUACCUCAUUCUUAUAUUUGUUGAUGGAGAAAGAUACCAUGACUUACUUCGUGACUUUGACUUCACCACACUCAUGUCACCAGUGUAAUCAGUAAGGACUAUGGUGCUUAGUGCAUGUUAACUCCAANNNNNNNNNNNNNNNNNNNNNNNNNNNNNNNNNNNNNNNNNNNNNNNNNNNNNNNNNNNNNNNNNNNNNNNNNNNNNNNNNNNNNNNNNNNNNNNUAAAGCAACAUGUAUGGAAUAUGUUCUUCUGUUGUUUAUUGUUUGUGCUCGUAAGUUAUAAAUUUAGAGCUCUUUGAACUACAAGGACAUUAUCCCAUAUUAGAGUUUCUUUAAUUGUUUGAGAUAUAGUAAAGCACCUGCAAAAAAAAGGCUAGUAAAAAAAAAUUCCUCCUUCUUACCUUCACUUGUGUUUACUUCAUAAUCUCUUACACUCAACUUCUUCCCUCAAGUUGAGCGUUUGAAAUCUAAUUCUCUUAAAUCAAGAUCUGCACGUUAGUCUUAAAGACACAACAAUAAGUCUUAAGGGGAUCUUGUUUUUAGAAGCUUAAAAUUAAGCACACAAAUGAAGAAGUUGUGAUGCUUUUAUUAAUAAUAUGUUAAGUAACUUGAAUGCAAUAAGCUACUUAGAUGUGUCUUGGAAUAAAAAUAUAAUUAGAAAAAAUAAACUUAGAACACAAAGAAACAAAUAUGGAUUUAAAGUGUAAGGGAUUUGAUCAAUCUUGAUGGAUAUAACAAGUAUCUUAUUCCUAAUUAUUCCACCCCAAUGAUAACUACGCUCUACGAUUGAUUAAAUUUCUUUAUUUAAAUGUAAAUCCAGACUCAAUGAUGUUGUGCUUGAAAUUAAAAUAUGAAGCAAAUGGUUUUCGCACACUUUUUGGUGAGGUAAUCUUCCUUUGAAAAAUAAAGGUUUUCAUCACACUGAUAGGCAAUUAAUCUCCCUUAGCUUGUAAAUGCAAACAUAAUGAAUGUUGAAUUGUCUUAUGAUGUGCAAUCACUUUUCUUUGAUUUUUUUGGAUUUUUUUAACUAAUUAAACAAAUGAACUUCUAUUUAAAAGAAUAAUUAGAUAAUAUCAAAUGGGAUGCAAUAAAAUGGAUUCAAAAUUAGGUGUUUGAUUGCUAAUUAUGCAACAAUAAUAUGCAAAAAAAUUUAAGAUAGUAGAUUCAAUGGUGCCUAAGCUCUGAUACUAAAUGAUGUGGGACCUCCAGGAUCAAAACACCUUGAUCAUGAACCCACAUCAACAGUAGCAAGCUGAAACUUAAUUUCCUAAUUAAAUCCUCCCUACUUGAACUAUAUUCAACAAUUUGAAUGCAAACCAAGUUGAUUGGGAAUUAAAAUAAGGAACAAAAAAGCCAUUACGACUUACCCGAUAAGUUGAUUCAGAUUUUUUGACUCAACAAGAUGGUUGAAGCAACCUCCCUUGAAGAACACUCACUCUCACACAUUAGUAAAACUUCUUAUAAAGAAUAAAACUUAAAGCCUUAAUUGAAUAAUCUGAAUUGUUGUGAUUAUAGCCUAAGGUCAGGCCUUUAUAUAAGCAUUCACCAGAAAAAUUCUAUAAAAACUCAAAUACUUGACUUUUAUUCAAACUCUAUCUAUAUUCUAAGUUUAUCUAAAUCUUAAGAUUAAAAUAAUAAUUAAAUACAUUAAAAUAAUCAUUUAAAUAAUAAAAUAAUACUUAAAAUAUCUAGAUAGAUAAUCCUCCUCUCUUUGGUCGGUCCUUGUGAAUUAUUCUGUGUGCGUUUUUGCUUCAUUUAGUUGUAAAGUCAUAAGAAACAUGUGAUUAAAAUAAAGAAAAAGCUUUCUCCUUCAACUCGCAUGAGUAAGGCCAUUGGGAUUGCCUUACCGCAGGUUUACAUCCAUUUGGUUUUAUCUUUUCUCCCUUUAUUUGCAUUCUUUUCAAUCUUAUAAGGAUUCUUCCCAUUGAUCGCUUAAAAAGAAGAAGUGCAACUUACGAAAGACUCUUAUUGCCAUAAAAACGACCUCCCUCACGUGAGAGGGAACCCCACGAGUGAAAGUUAUCUCUCCUGCACAUGUGUUUGCCUGCACAUGUGAACAAGAACAUUCACAUGUGUGCCAUGUGACAUCCGCGACUUUUCAUGUUCGGUCGACCUUGAUCUCGCUUUCUAUUGGGCCUCCUAACUGAGCUCUUCACUUACCCAUUCUUGGACCAAUAUGUUGAAAGCUAGUUGAAACUUAUUCUAACUUUUAACUUAUUAGCUUGACUCCUCGUGAUUGGGCCUAAGGGCAUUUAGAUCCUAUUUCUAACUCUUAAAUAUCAUCUUGAUUAUUUUUAGGCAGUCUUUAGGCUUGAGAAGGAUUAGGAAACAAGGAGGAAUUAGGAAAUGAGCUAGGCUUCAAGUUGGUUUCCUCUUUGGUGCUUGGGCUGUGGGUUUCUAAAUAAAAAAAUAAAUCCUUGCGGUAUUGGGAUUCUCCACAAGUAUUCUCCCAAGUACUGUCCGCAAGCACGCGAGGGUCUUCGAUUCCGCAAGCUAACUCCUUUGUCAUGUCUAGAUUCAUAUUAGUCUUUUGUCCUGAUAAUUAGGGACUAGCAAUGGCCUUUUAUUAUUUUAAAAUAUCUAGGAGCUCUCUCCUUAUUCUUUAUUUAGUUAUUCGACCACUUGAACCUUUUCUAAGACUCCUCGAUAUGUCACUAGAACGAACACAAUUACCUAACGAUAAAGGUCAGGCCUCAGUCCUCUCUCAAACCUUCGGGCCUUCUUAGCUCAUUCAUCAUCAUGUCCAGGGAAAACCACCUCAACUUAAUGAAUUUUUCUAAUUACUCUGCCACUGUGAACUUUGCUUGGUGCAACUCUAAGAACUCAUUUCUUUUUCUACUGUCUAAUGAAAUUAGGAAAAUACUCGGCGUUGAAUGCCUCUAAGAAAAUUUCCCAGGUAAUGGGAGGAAUCAUAGCUCUUUUCUUCAAGUUCCACCAAUGUUCUACUGCUCCUUUUAACAUGAAAAUAACUAAUUGAACCUUCUAUUUGGUAGUGACUUCUAUUACUUCUUUUUAAAAUAGUUUUUCUAUCUCUUUAAUCCACACCUCUACUAUAAGUAGAUCAAAAUGGCUUGUAAACACUGGGGGACCCAACUGUUUAAACCUCUCAUUGUUGCUGGAGUCAACACCUGCAUGAACCAUAUUUUGAUGUUGAUAGUAGGGUGGUUCCGGGCAUAAUUCUCACUCUUGAACAAUUGUCACUAGGCUCUCCACGACUUGGCACAGCUUGUUAAAAUAUUCCUAAUUGAGACCUUUUUGGGUUGGUUUAACCUUGUGGAGCAGGGGGGUGACCCUUAAUGAGUUAGAAGUGGUGUUUAUUGAACUGGGGGCCAGUCUUGAGGAGCUAGGGUUGGCCCUCUCUAAGGUCGACCUCUGCCUCGUUCACAUUUCUAUUAUUCUUGCAAUUCAAAGGUAUUUUCACCUAAGAUCAUAAGAGAAAUUCAAUUUCCUUCUAAUCUAUAUAAAUUCUCAAGUCUAUUGUACAAAUGAUGGUCCUAGGAAAGUUGUUGUGAUACCCACUAUAACAACCUGUGAUUUUGAUGAAAUCACAAGUAUCUAAACAUCUUGAACAUUUAAAAUGCAAUGUCAAAUUUGUAUGAAAAUGCAAAAUACAAAUUUAUCCAAACUCUCAUCUUUCUAAUUUUAGUUAGAUCUAAAUAAUUAAAAUAGUCACGUAACAUAUCUCUAAUCUCAAAAAACUAAGUAAUACUUCAGAGUCUGAAAACUUAUAUAUCAAUACUAAUCAAAGAUAACAUAAAUCUCAUAUACUUAGAGGGUCUAGUCACUAUCGUAACUAGUCUUGUAUUUGCUCUUAGGUUUCAUGUUCUUAAAAAGAAUGAAAAAGAUUGAGCUGCACAUGCUUAGUACGAACCAUUUAGUACCCUAACCUGCAUAAAUGUAAAUAGUACAAGUGAACCCUCAGUAUACUGUAUCUAAGUGAGACCGGAUUCAUUUCUAAAUGAGUGUUACUAAUCUCGAAUAUCUUAUUUAUUCGAAUUAUUCAUCACUUUAAAACAUUUUUCUAGACAUUGUUAAGUAUUUUACUUUUCUAUUUCCCUGUUAAUAGUAAAAUCAAGUAAUCACUCAACAUUUUACCCAUAAUGCAAUAUAAUUCACUUUUUCUUUUACUUUAAUAUCACUUAUCAACUAUAUAAUGACAAUUUAUAACUAUAACCGAUAGUGCGUCAAAACAUCUUCAUUGUCCAUUUUUUAGUACUAAAUUGAAUUUUUUUAUAUUUGAUUUAAGCUAUUUUAUUCAUUUUGAUACAGGAUAGAAGAUGGAGCCCUACGUCAGGAAAACAACAUAAACAGAGCAGAUUUUGUGAAGUAGUUGUCAAUCAUUGUAUAAGUUUUCGUCAAGGCUUAAACCCUGCAGCAAAGGCAGAUUUUGGCUCACACACAAUCAAGCCUCGGGCAAGGUUAAUGUAUCAGAAAGGGCUAUAAGUCUCAGUACACCAGAUUAAGCCUCGACCAAGCCUUAAACAUGUGCAGCAACAUAUUUGACAAAAAAAAGAUGCACUGUCGAAUUAAAAGAAGAAAUUUAGUUGCGCCCGAAAAAGGAAANNNNNNNNNNNNNNNNNNNNNNNNNNNNNNNNNNNNNNNNNNNNNNNNNNNNNNNNNNNNNNNNNNNNNNNNNNNNNNNNNNNNNNNNUACUAAGCCCACCAUGAGUGGCUGAUAACAUUCGUUGCUAGUUACAGAUUUAUUGAAAAUUCCAAUUUGAAUUAUGAGAUCUAAUUGCUUUAUUUAUGAUUUCAUUAAAGCUUCAGUAUUUGCUUAUUUCUAUGUGUGUAUUAUUAUUGUUGCUUGUUAACUGUUUGACUAUGGCUGGUUAGAUGCGUGACAAGGCAAUAUACUACCAUUUGAAAAUCCUGAAUCCGUAAUUAUUUGGGUUAUUUCGAUACUCAAUAGUAAAUUAGUCUUUAAGCUAAGGGAAUAGGUGAUCUGAUUGAACAGGUCACGUGGUUGAAUCUGACAACUAGAUACAGGUUCUUUUAGUUCUCAAGGCUGUUGAUAGAUUAAAUUCUAUAAACAUUUCCAAGACUAUUUAUCAAUAAAAAUAAACUAACAAAUAUUUUUUGGUUAAUUAAGGAUUAAGGAAGAAUCGGUUGUCGGAACAUUUUCGAUAACCAAAACUAGUUUGUAGAGCUUUAGUAAGACCGAUCAUUAUAUCGAUGGUCAAUUUCACUAUUGGAAUCUAGCUACUUCUUUAACUGGGAUUAUUCUUAUAUCUGUUAUUUCUUUGAUUGUCUUCUGUUCCAUUGUGUAAAUUUUAGCUUAGUAGUUUGUUUUUUUUCAUCGUUUAAACUUGAAGAAAAACCCCCUGCUCUUGUUUUCGUUGGUCAAAGAAGAAUACAAUAUCCGAAUUUGUUUUCAACAGAUAUUGCAAUGCCACAAGAGUAUGAAAAUAUAAUGACCUUAGUCUCUAAUAAAUAAGAGCAGAACUUUUUCAAGACAAACGCAACAGCAAGUAGUUAUUUUUCAGUGGUCGAGUAGUUGACUUGAACACUAUCUAGAUAUAAUACCCUGAAACCUCUAUAUUCGGAUAUUGUAUUUUUAAAUUUUAUAUUUUUGUGAAGAGGAAGGAGGGGAAGGUGCUUUAAAUAGCCUUCCCAAAUGAAUGUGAUCUGUUGGAUCACAUGUAAUUAAUGGUAGCCAUUGAUCGGCCAACUGGCUAAGUGGCCACCCCCACAUGGCGUGCAUGUGUGCCAUGUCGUAACCAUGCAUGCCCAAUAGUGGGCUAACAAGACAACCCAUCCGUCGAGGGUCACGCAAAGUGACCUUGCAAGUGGUUGCACACUUCAGGCGGACAACGCGUGCACCCAAGCUGACGCGACAGUCCCUGCAAACGUACAGGCAUGCGCGAACAAUCACAUGCGACGUCCCUGCGUGCGCAGCAAACACGUGGGCAUAGUCACAGCCUUUCACGCAGGUUCACAGGUCCUUUCCCUCCAUUUUUCUGUUUUUGUUUUAUCUUUUAUUCUUUUUAAAAAAUUUUAAAUUCUUUUUAGCUAAAACAAAAAUUAAAAAUUAAAAAUAAAUUCAUGCACAAUAUAAUUUAAAUGCAUAUUAAAAUUAAAACACUAUAAUUUAUUAAAAUAUAAAAUUUAAAAAUACAAUAUCCGAAUAUAGAAGUUUCGGGGUAUUAUAUCUAGAUAGUGUUCAAGUCAACUACUCGACCACUAAAAAAUAACUACUUGCUGUUGCGUUUAUCUUGAAAAAGUUCUGCUCUUAUUUAUUAGAGACUAAGGUCAUUAUAUUUUCAUAUUCCUGUGGCAUUGCAAUAUCUGUUGAAAAAGAAAAAAGCCAAAUCAAGACUAAUUCGAUGGAUACUCUAACUGCAGGAAUUCGAUUUAGAAAUAAGAGACAAAAGGGGUAUGGAGAAUUUUAUUGCUGAUCACCUUAGUCAUCUGCUGUUAAAGGAAGAGCUUAUGCCAUUGAAAGAUGAAUUUCCAAAUGAACACCUUUUCUGGGUAACGCUGUGGACACUCUGGUACGCUGACAUAGUCAAUUAUUUGGUCACCAACACAUUGCCAGCUAAAUUGUCCAGAGCACAAAAAGAUAGAAUCAAGAAGAAUAAUAGUAAUAUGUGUGAGAUGACCGUGCAAAUCAGAUCAUUCGCUGAUGCAUCCCUAAAGUAGAAGUUCCUUCCAUCCUGAACUUUUGUCAUUCUCAUGCUUGCGGGGACACUUCAGUCCUAAGCGCAUGGUGCGCAAAGUGCUGGAAUGCUGGUUAUUUUGGCCUUCCCUGUUCCGUGACGCAUAUAUCUAUAGUAAAAUAUGUGAAAUUGCCAACAUACAUGAAAUUAGGCCGCAAGGAUUAGAUGUCAUUAACACCCAUCCUAGUCUACGACAUCUUUGAUGUGUGGGGGAUAGAUUUUAUGGGACCCUUUCCAUCCUCCUUCGAAAACUCAUAUAUUUUACUUGCAGUGGAUUAUGUCUCCAAGUGGGUGAAAGUUAAGGCCACCAGAACCGACGACGCCCAAAACUGUUGUCAACUUCAUCAAAACCCAUAUCUUUGUUAGGUUUGGAGUGCCUCAUGCGAUGAUAAGUGAUAGGGGAAUACAUUUUUGUAAUCGAAUUGUGGCUUUAAGAAGUACCAUGUCAGACACCGUACCUCCACCACUUACCAUCCGCAGAUCAGUGACCAAGCAGAAGUUUCAAACAAGGAGGUGAAGUCCAUACUAGAGAAAAAAUUCAACCCCAACAAAAAAAGACUGGAGCUUAUGGCUAGAGGAUGCUCUAUGGGCCUACAUUACAGCCUACAAAACUCCUAUCGAAAUGUUAUCCUACUGCCUGGUUUUCGGUAAGGCCUACCACCUUCCUGUGGAGCUAGAACACAGGGACUAUUAGGCAAAUAAGAGUUACAACAUGAAGAUAGAAGAGGCCAAGCAACAUAAGAAGCUGCAACUACAGGAAUUGGAAAAGAUAAGAAAUGAAGCUUACGAAAAUUCACGAAUAAAUAAAAAGAAGAUAAAGUCCCUCCAUGAUCGAAUAGUCACCAAAAAGUAGUUUUUUUGUAGGACAGGAGGUCCUACUUUAUGAUUCCCAUCUGAAGUUGUUUCCCAGAAAAUUACGUUCUAAGUGGUUAGCCCCUUUAUUGUCACAAAAAAUUCCACGCCGGAGCAGUUGAGAUCAAGAGUCUAGACACGGAUAAAACAUUCAAAGUAAAUGGACACCGACUCAAGCCAUCUAUGAAAGAUUUGUAGGACAACAAGUUGAAGAGCUCAUCCUAGAAACCCCUACAGAUAACAACCGAUAGCGCAGAGGCAAUCUCUAGCCUAGGACAGUACACAAGGGUGUUUAACAAGAGGCAACCCAUUUUUUCUCGUUUUUUUUCUAUUUUCCUUAAAACUAUUUUGAUGUUUUUAAAAUAUAUGUGUUAUUAAGGUUUUAACCUCAAUCACUCUAACUGGAAUUUUCUUCUUUAUUUACAGGCUGUUGAAGAAACAAUGCAAGACCACUGGGUCACCAGGCUGUAAAGACUGCAUUACCCUUGCCUAAGGCUAAGAGCGAUAACCCAAGCCUUGCCCAAGACGAAGAGUGAUAACCCAAGCUUUGCCCAAGGCCUAGAGCGACAAGUUAAGCCUUGCCAAAGGGUUAGCGCGUGCCUUGUCUAAGGGUUAAUAACUUCACAAGCCUUUUCAUGGAUCGGAUGCAAGCCACAAGGCUUAAACCAUGGUAACAUAAGAAGUCUAGUUUAGAAAUAUUUAGAUAAUUCAUGCCCAAGGGUUACGUUGUAGAUGUGAUUGAAGUUUUAUACUGUGUAACCUUUGCCCAAGGCUAAAGUGAAAAAAAGAAAAAAAAAAUUCCCCUUGUGAACUAUCCACUAAGCCUUUGUCUAGGCUCAUGACACCUGACGUCCAUUUUAAAUUUAAAAUCCCUACCCUAAAACACCACUCCCCACUUUCACAAUCAAACUCUCACUCUUUUCCCUAAUCACAACCUCUCACCUCAAACCACAAGCUCCACCUAAGGAACACGCUUCACUGCAUGAUGCAAGCAACCCCUCGACCCCAUAGCAGAUGAACCUCUAGUGUCUCCCACCCCCUAGCCAACAAUACUAGGGGAUUAUUCUAUCCUUUCUUUUUCUCUUAUUCUGUUUUUUUUUUCAUUUCUUAUUUUCUGGUUUUCAUGCUACCUUGCUUGUGUCAAAUUGGGGACAAUGUGCCUUUUAAGGGUCGAAGAGGCACAUGCUGCACUUUUACGUUUCCAUUUUGGUCACAUUUUUUCUUUUAAGUACAUGCUGAUAUGCAUUCGUAGCCCUACCCAAGUCACACAUAACUACAUUUUCAACUAUUUUUAACCCCAUCUUUUCACUACUGCCUUGGUAUUUCCAAAAUAAUUUAACUGGUGUUUCAAGAACUAAAUUACAUUUUCAGUAACCUUCUAAGAUUUCUGACUUAUUUUUCAUCUUUUCACACCAUGAAGAACUAUUUCUAUUAAUAUGUCUUAACAUAACUUGUUUAGGAAUUGCAUUCAAUUGAUUUUCUCUUGUCCUGAGGUGAACACUAGUGCCUAGGGAACUUACACAACUAUCUGUCUGAAUUUGCAUGUUCAAAUUCACCAAAAAAAAGGAGAGAAAGAGCAUGAACCAUAAACUACUCGUCUAGUUGAAUGAAUUUAUAACCAAUUGUGUAACCCGGUGCAUUCAUCAUAAAUGUUUGUCAUCACGUCAAAAGGUUGGUAACAUUUAAGAUAGCCAUAAAAGUGUUAGUCAAUCGAUUAUGAAUAGUACUAGUAGCCUCUGAAAAUUGUGACCAGCUGAGUAACCGGGUGCAUUCAUCAUAAAUCUUUGCCCUCACAUAAAAAAGUUAAUGAAAUUUUAAGUCAACAAAAGAGUGCUCAAGAAGUAAUUAUUUUAAUUAUUUGUUCUCACAAUAACCCAUUUGCAUUAAGACUUUAUGUUUAGACAAGUUUAGUGUGGAUUUUACCCUAGUUAUUGGCUAUUCUUUUCAAGAUAAAAAUGUGUUCAAAAACCUACAAAACCUUUCCAUUUUAUGCUUGGAUAUUAUUCAAAGUAGUUAUUCUUUGGUGUGAUUCCAAGAAACUCAAGCCUAAAACUGCUAGUAAGGACUGUUUUUGCAAAUUUAAGAUUGAAAUAUAACAUGCAAGUUGUGGAAAAAUUAUUAAGGGCAGUAGGGUUGAGGGUGCAAGGUUGAGACUUGUUGAGUUAUAUUGUGAAGUGCUUGGAGGCAAGCACAAGAUAAAUGUGGAGGAGUUUAAUAGUGUGUAAAAACAUCAUCUUCAUUGCCCAUUUUUAAGUACUUAAUUGAAUUGUUUGCUAUCUAAAUUAAACUAUUUUAUUCAUUUUGAUAUAAGACAGAAGAUGGAGCCUAAGUCAAAAAAAUAACAAAAAAAGAGCAGAUUUCAUAAAGCAACUGUCAGUCAUGGUAUAAGCCUCAAUCAAGACUUAAACCCUACAGCAACAACAGACUUUGGCUCGCACACAAUCAAGCCUUGGGGAAAGCUAAUGCAUUAGAAAGGGCUAUAGGUUUUAGGUACACCUGACUAAGCCUCGGUCAAGGCUUAGACACGUGCAAUAGUAUAUUUUAAAAAAAGGCACAUUACCGAAGUAAAAGAAGAAAUCCCAUUGCAACCAUAAGAGGAAAUCAAGAAUCAAGGAAGAGAUUAUUUUGGAAAGCAAGAAGGAAGUCGAAAUCAUUAGGAAAGAUCUCUAUCUUUGCAAAAAGAAAACCCUAAUCCUCCUGGGGUUUAAAAGGAGAAGAAAACCAGAGAAGAAGGCAUCAUGGAUGCUACACACUGCAACACUUGUAGCUUUCUAAAAUUUUCUUCCUUUUUUCUCUUUUCAAUAGUCAUAAAACUCUAUUAUGUACUAAGCCCAUCAUGAGUUGCUGGUAACUUUCUUUUCCAGUUACAGAUUUAGUGAAAAUUCUAGUUUGAAUUGUGAGAUAUAAUGGCUUUAUUUCUUGUUUCAUUAAAGCUUCGAUAUUCGUUUAUUUCUCUAUGCGUAUUAUUGUUGCUCCUUGUUAACCAUUUGAAUAGGGCCUGUUAGCACGCGACAAGCAACAUACUACCAUCCAAAUACUAAUCCGUAAUUAUUUGGGUUGUUUCGAUACUCAGUGGUAAAUUAGCCUCUGAGCUAAGGAUAUAAGUGAUCUAGUUGAGUGGGUCACACGGUUGAAUUCGACAACUAUAACUAAGUUCUUCAAGUUUUCAAGGUUAUUGAUAAAUUAAAUUCUAGGAACAUUUCCAGAGCUAUUUAUCAACAAAAAUCAAUUAAUGAACAUUUUUUGGUUGAUUUAGGAUUAAGAAAGAAUCGGUUGUCAGAACAUUUCUGAUAACCAGAACUAGUUUGUCGAGCUUUAGUAAGACCAAUCAUUGCAUUAAUGAUUAAUUUCACUACUGGAAUCUAGCUACUCCUUUAAUUGGGAUCAUUCUUAUAUCUACUUAUUUCUUUGAUUGUCUUUUGUUUCUUUGUUUAAAUUUUAGCCUAGUAGUUUGUUUCUUUUCAUCGUUUGAACUUAAAGAAAAACCCCAUGCUCUUAUUUUUCGUUGGUCAAAGAAGAAAAGUUGUUCUUGAUUCCCUAAGGAUUCGACCCUAUUUACCACUAUUAUAAUUCUAUUUUGUUGGUUGAAUAUGACUUUUAUUUUUGGUGGAUUUGAUACCCAUAAACAAUACAUCUUAUUUUUUUCAUAAUUGGACACCUAUAUCUUAUUGUACAAUGUCAUUUAAAUCAUUAUUAAAGAGGGCAGUAAAGAUCACCUCUAUCAACGUGAACACAAUCAUAGAAAUAGUGAAAACUAAAAUAUGCUUCCACUAUACGGGACUCACUAAUCGACCGACAUCAGCAACAUACACACCCACCCCUCAACGGACAUAGUAUAGUAUAACAUAUUAGAUAUUUUUUGCAUGGGUUCACUAAUCAACCAAAAUAAGCCAUACACACAUCUAUCCAUCUGUAACACCCCACUCACCACUGUGUUUAAUUUAUAUUUGAAAAAUCCUAUUUAUUUGGGUCUUAUGGUCACACUAAACUCAUUUAUUUUAUUCCGCAGCUUAUUAUCGUGAUUCGUAAAUUAUGUUUAUUUUUAUUUUGUUUAAUUUUAUUUAAUUUUAUUUUGAUUUAAUUGUUUAAUCGUCAUUUUUUUUUAAAUAAACGAUUUUCAGAAAAAAUAAAAAAUAGGGAGAAAAAUCUUGCGAGAUUCUGCCCACGUGGGCGCCCGUGUGGUGUGUGCGCUCGUGCACACUUCCCAUCGCGCGGCGUAGAGGACAGGCCUGCGCACGCGUCUUGUCACGCACAGGCAGGACCUGUCCACGUGCGUCACAUUGCGUGCAAACAGGUAGGCGCCACACACUGUGUGCGGCCAUUCGUGCAAUAAGCCUGCAUGAAUUGGCUUGCGCGCCUUGGGCCUGUGCUCGGCUCCUCACCACGCCUUGGCCCUGUGCACAUAGGCCAGUUCCUGCGGCAGGGUAGACUGGCGCCUAAAGGCUAGGCCUACAAUGAGCACUAGGCAAAUGAGGCCAUUGCCACCUCGGACAGUGUGUCGUCGCCCAUCUUGGGUGGCAUGCUGCUGCUUAAGGUGUCGCCACCAGUGGAGGAGGUUUUUUUCCUCCGUUUUUCAUACUAAAUCUUUUUACUCUCUCUCCACCAGAUUUUACCACUUGGCACAAAUCCAAUGGCCUCCAUUUUCUAUAAAUAUGGGUCUUUCCUCCCAUUUUCUCUUCACUUUCAUUCUUCCACCUUUCAAGAGUUAGAGAGAGAGAAUGAGAGUGAUUUAGAGAGAGAAUGAGAGGAGAAAAAGAAGAAUGGUGUAGAAAAAAUUAUCAAGGUUUCGAUAAGAAAUUUAGUAUUUCUUUAGACAUCUUAAUGGAUAUUUUUAGACAAAAAAAAGGAUUAAAUUGAUAAUUCUAUGACUUUACGUAUUUUGCAUGCUCUAUGUUAGUAGACUUAAUAAGUUGAAUUGUUCUUGAUUUCGAGCAUACUAUAUGAGUUAUAGAUACUUGAUGAUUUGCAUAUAAUUAAAAUAAUAUAAAACAGGUAAGGCUAUAUAGAAAAAAAAAAAAAAAAAAAAAAGUAGAAUAAAGUAUGAAUGGUCCGAAGUAUGUACCUGUAUUGACAUGCAUAACGCAUUAAGUAUCUCAUUAGACUUUUUAUCUCUAAGGAGUAUCUAUUCCUCUAUCCCCAUUCGGGAUAUUUUUUUUUCCUCCCCCAUCUGGUAUGGAAAGACGUAAAAGGAAUGUUCCUUAUAGAUGACGGCAUACCCUCUGACGAGAGUAGUGAUGCAAAUAUCUGUUAGGAGUCACAUUUAGUUAAAUAUUUUCGUAACUAUAGAAUAUUUUAUAGGAUCACUAUGCUUGGUACGACCAUGGUCAUAGAUCGUACCAUGGUUUGGCAAUCCGGAAAUGUCUCUGAGUAAAUUGUCAUUAUCUCUAUCUAAUCUGGUCAUUCUAAAUGGAUAGUCGAAAAUUUAUAUCUGCCUUCAAAGAUAUAAGCCGUAACGACUUUACGAAGCAUGACACAAAAAUCUGAGUAUUUCAUUAUUUAUUUGAUUUUCUCUAUUGUUAGGUAUACUGUGUUUUAUUUUAAUUGUUGACUAUAACGUGAUUUUUUUUAAUAAGUAAAUUAUUUUCAUAAGGUAAGAUAGAUCUACGACGUACCUAAAUGGUAAGUAUUUAUGUUAGAAUUAUUCACCUUUUAAAACCUUAUGAUGUUAACUAAAUACUAUUUUUCUUACUGAGCAUAUGAAACUUACUUUUUCUAUGCUCCCAGAUGAGGAAGAUGAUGAGGAACCAUCAGCUGAUAUACCCAUUGAACUUUAUGAGGAUCCCAUAGAUCUGCAUACUUUGAGUGCAUGAUCGUCCUCGCACUCUGAUGAGUCCAAUAGUAUAAUGAUAGAAGUGGCUCUCUUUUGUAUUUUGACAUUGUAUUUUCCGGUCACUUCUGGCCUCACUUAUAUAUAUAUAUAAUUGAAACUCAUAUAUUUAUAAGGAAUUUGUAUUAAUUUGCUUUGUUACAUAUAAUUUUUAUCAUGCACUCGUAAUUUUUUUUCUGUAUCUGACACCUCAAUGCCUUAAUUAGCGUCUGAGAUGUCACACCAUCCAAGAACAUAACCACUGCAAUCACAUCUAUAUCAUACCGCAUAGCAAGUACAAUGCACUAUAAGUGUAAUUACAUCUAUACCGGACUACAUAGCAAGUACAAUGCACAUUACCAUAAAAUAUCUUUUUCGUCCACGUGAUAGGUUUCAUCAUCAACCAUAUCGACCGAAUCUCGGCCACACACACGCAUUAAUUUGCUUUCACAUUUUGAUUUGAAUUUUCCCUUUAAUUUUAAAUUUUCGCUCAAUAGAUUAUAUAUUUAUUUCAUACCUUUUUUUUUAGUUAAUUAAUUUCUUUCCUUACGUAUUUUUCUCUAACUUUAACCUUCACAACGAACUUAACAUUUAAUAUCAUUCCAUUAAUAUUUUAUUCGUAUAGUUUCAUUAAUAAUUUUUGUUUAACCCUAUUUGUCUAUUUAGUUAAUUUUUUGUUGUACAUUUAUGACAAGGUUUAAUACUAACCCCACUCACAACCCUAUCGUACAUGGUAUUCUUCGAUAUAUUUAUAAAUAGGCUCUAUAAUAUACUUCUAAUUUAAUAUUUUUAUUAAUUUUUGUUGGUGAUAUUAAUUUCAAAUCCACUUCUGGUUUUAAUUUUUGGACCAAUAUCCUUAGUCAACCUAUUAGACAUUUUAUUUUGACCCAUUAUAUCAUUUUGGAUAAUUAAUUCACUCUUAUCAUAUGUUAUCAUUAAUACUAUUAUUGUUAUUAUAAUUAUUAUUACUAUAACUUAUUUAUUUAUUCUUUUCUUCCUUUUUGGGUCUCUAUUCAGUGGCCCACUUUCCUAUUGCCCAUUAAGAUAAUAGUUUUGAUUUUAGAAAAAGACUUGGCUCUACCCUUGAAAUUUCUAGUUCUGACUCCUUUAGAAAUUAUAUUUUCGGGCUUGACUCGUUUAAGCCAUUGGUUAGGAACCAUCUAUCUUUUAUAGGCUCAACCCAUUAAUAUGUUUUAGGUUCAGCCCAUUCAGAAAUCAAUUCCCCAUAACCCUAAAGUUUCCUACAUCUUAUCUCUCCACCCAUGAACACAGAAGGGUUUACAAAUUAUAUUUGUAACACUUCAUUUAUAAUCACAUGUAUAGAUUCCUAAUAGAUGAAAAUGGGUGUAUUUGGUCGUUUCUAAUCUACCAUUUUAAAGAUAUAUUUUAGAUAAACUAAUUUAGGAAUUGCUUCAGAUGUAUUAAAUUACAAUUAUGGGUUAAGAAACUAAAUCAAUCUUAGUCUUCUUAGAUUAAUGAUGGUGUGAGUUUGAUUUGCGAUGAUGAUUAUUGCUUUUCCCUAAGCUACACAUACACAAAAAAAAAAAAACCCACUUUGUCAUGAAAACCCAAAUCGACGAUGAAGUUCAUCCCAUUUUUGGGUCUAUGAAAAUGAAGGAAACACUUACCAAGAGACUCACCACUCAUUGCAUAAAUGUCUAAAAUCCCGAAUUAACUUCUAGCCUUAAGCCUUCUGCUGCACCUUCACCUUCUUCAACCUUUCGAAACACUUUCCCUUCUCUCUUCUGUCGCUUCGUUCGGGUUUAGGAUUAAGGUUUGUGUUUACUUUUUUUU